UCGAAUUAAAAAAAAAAUAUGACAAUUCAGUAGUCUUUAAUGAAAUAAAAAAAAUGAAAAAUGUUAUUUAUGUCAUUGUAAGCACACUAUAUUAUAUUACUUUACAAAGGGACGAAAGACAUCCUUUGCGUUAGGAUGCUCCCACUCCACCACUGACUCCCACCAUCUUUUUGGACUUAAAUAGAUAUUUUUAAGAGAUGGGGGAGGAGAUGGCUGGCCAUUUUCGAGCAACGGAAGACAAAUUGGCAUCCUCUUCAGCUUCUCACAAUAUGUUACAUCAAUAUCUUCAAGAGAAUUGCAAAUCAGUUUUGCUCUGCAAAUGCUUUUCAGUUCAGGUAAAAUAACCAAUUUCAGAAUUCUUAACUUUGGGAGAAUGACUUCCGUGAUGGAAUUGGAGCUGCUGCUUUCUUCAUCUGUUGUUCCUAUUAUCUCCUCCAUUUUCUCACAGCACUUCACUUCAAUCCUUUCCAGGUUUACGAGGUUUGGCAGCAGCACAAGUGGGAACAACUUCUUCAUACUCUUACAUCCAUAACAAAAAAACCUUUUAAUACUGGAAAACAUACCAUUAUAUGAUGGCAAUGGUGGUGGAGCAGAGCAGAACCAAGAAGAUGAAACCAAGCUCUCCAUGUUAUAGCAUUCCCCAAUGCUGAUUUCCUUCAGUUCAGUUGCAUUCUCUAAUGACAAAACAUCACAUAAACUUCUUGCAUCGAUGCAUUCACAAAUCAGUCCUUGAAUGCCAUUUAAGAACUUGACCUGAAAAUCUCUGUCUUCGUUGAUACUCAAAUUACCCAACCCAACUGUUUUCAAACUUUCAAUGCCAAAUCUACCCACCUCUCCUACUAAAAUCUUGCAUGUGCUUAAUGAUAGGAUCCCAUCCCGAGAUCUGAGAUACUCCAUUAAGUCAGGGAGACCUUCGAAAUGGCAUUCCAAAGUUUCCAAAUUUCUCAAGGAUCCUACUUCCUUUCCUUUUAACUGUUAUCGGAGCAUCACCUCGCGGCAUAAACUCUUCUAGUACAAAGACUUGCAGGUGAGAGAGUUUUGGUAAUAUCCCACUAGGAAACGCCUUUUCACCACAUCCAUCCAUACUAAGAUACCUCAGGUUGGUUAGGCAUUCCAUUCCUUGCGGCAUCUUUUCAAGCCUAGUAUAAGAGAGAUCCAACCUCUUCAGUGCCGUGAGCUUCUUUAAUGAUGGAACAUGACGUAACUUCUCACACAUUUUGAGCAAUAACGCAGUGAGACUCACCAAAUCAGAGACAGAGUCUGGCAAGUUUCCAAUAUUUGUCCAAGACAGAUCGAGGACCUUGAGCCCAUGCAAUUGCUUGAAAAAUGAAUCCGCAACAAAUCCCAACCCUUUAUUAUCACAUAGAAAUAGAGUUGAUAGAUAGGGACACCUUGGUGAAUAGCUGGAAGGAAUUUCUUUGAUAUUGUUUUGCAUUAGUGAGACUCUUGUGAGAUUCUCUGUCCACUCCUCUGCAUCUGGCAACUCUUCUAAUUGCGCACCUGCUUUAACCAUGACUUGAGAGUCGUCUUGCAGUAUUUGGAUGGCCAUGUCCCUAAUCAAGUCAUGCAUCUUGACAAGUCCAUAAUCCAUUUGAGCACUUUCCAAUAGGCAGACAUUUUCAAGUCUAUUAAGCAUCGUGUGGCCCUCAUCAAAUGCAUCUCCCCUGCUCCUCUUUCCUUUAAUUAUUCCCUCAUCGAUCAAAUAACCUAUCAACUCCUCCCUUGCAAUCAUAUCAUCUUCAGGAAAUAAUGCACAGUACAAGAGACAUUGCUUUAGUGCUAAAUCACCUAACCGAUCAUAACUAAACCUCAAUAACCUGAAUACUUUCUCAUCUAUGUCCCUAAAUUCUGAUUCUCUCAAUUUGUUCAAUGUGUUUCUCCACUCAUGUGGAUCAUCCACUCCCCUCAAGCUUCCUGCCACUGCAAUAAUUCCCAAUGGCAAACCAGCACAUUCCCUAGCAAUAUCUUUCGCAAUUCCUUCCACUUCUGGUGAAAGUGCUAUGUCACGUCCAAGUUUCUCCAUGAACAAAUUCCAAGCUUCACCCUCAGAAAGUGGCUUCACUUUGAUUUUGUGGUGGCAAGCCAUCCGAUGACAAACCGUUUCUGAUCUAGUUGUCAUAAUCAGCUUGCAUCCUUUCGACAGCACAGGAAUUCCCACUUCAUCAAGCUCAAAAUUGUUCCACAAAUCAUCUAAAAUGAGGAUCCAUUUUUGUUUCGUCCUUAAUUCUUCUGACAAUUUGGCAGCUCUAUGCACAUCAUCAUCUUCGUUUGCAAGGUCUAGAUCAAGACAUUUAGCUAUGAGAUUCUGCAAUCUAGUAAUGCUGAAAUCUUGAGACACAGUCACCCACCAAAUAUUUGGUUUUUGUAGAAGCUCAUUAUGGAUAUGUUUGAGUAUUGUCGUUUUACCAAUCCCCCCCAUGCCAUAAAUGCCAAUGGUUGGGACUUUAUCAUCCAUUAACAAAGACCAUAUCUCCUUCGUUUUCUCUUCAAAUGCUUGACCCACUGGCUUUGUGGAGCUAGUAGGUAAUGGAACUCCUCUAGUCUUGUUGUAUUUCAGACUUUCAGAAGAUCUUGCUCCUGCGCUAGCCUCCUCCAUUGGUUCUGUCCUCACUCUAACCAUGUCCAGCGCAUCAUUGUUUACUGAUGGAGCACAAGGUUGAUCAUAACAUCCUCCAAUGUCAGGACAAAAUUGGGAUGAAUCUCCUCGAGGCUCCAGAAGCUGCACUUGCUCUGUUCUUGGAAUAGUCUCAAAUGCAUCAUGCUGAAAAGAUCCUUCACCUUGAACUCCCACUUGUACUGCUUGUAAAUGCGACUGAAUUCUCUCUUCUCCGGGACCUUGUUCCACGCCUUGAACUCCCACUUGUACUGCUUUGCUCUGUUCCAACACUCGAUCCACGGGUUCUGUCCUCGUUCUGCUCUCGAGUGCCCCUUCGGAAACUCCAUCUUCUUGUGCUCUCAUUCCGGUCAUGCUUGCUACGUCGUUUCCUGCUAUUGCAUGAGAAGAAAUCCUCUCUUCCCCUACCCCGGGUUCUACAACCUGAACUUCUCUUUGUACCCUUCCAAUACCUCCUACCAUUGUUGAGAUUGAACUUGCUGUGAUUUUAUGUCUUUUGUUGCCACCACGCAUAGCUAGAAAGGCUGCUUCUUGAACUUCUUUAGGCACCCCAAGACAAAUGGCAACAUUAUGCCCUUCCUCUCCUGAUAAAUGCCAUUUGAUCCUUGAAAUGGAGGUUUUAUUGGCAAAUGUACGUUGACAAAACUUACACUUCAUCCUACCCUCAUCACUUUCUUCAACAUGAUUCCAAAACGGAUCAUUUGAUCCAACCUUUUCGACCUAUAGAAAAAAGAAGUCAAAGUAUAGAACAAAAAUCAGUUAAAAUAUGGAAUAAAAAUUGACGGAUCAAGUUACAGAACAGAAGUUUCCGGAUUGAGAAACUAUUUUGCUAUCAAAAUUGAUAGUUAGUUUAUAGCACAAUCAUAGGGGAAAAAAGACUACGAUAAUUCAGUUAGACUUCUUACUUGUUGAGUAUUUAAACCCCUAUUUUGACUUUGGAAGGAAGUGUCAGGGCCAGGAUUAGAGGCAUUUGGCAUAGCAGUUUGAUUUUGCAAUCCUCCGGCUUGGAAUUUAUCCAUCUGUGACCUAUAUAUAAAUGAAAUGAUCAUAUUAUAAAAAUUUUCGAUAAUUGGUAGUCUCUCUUAAGCACUAAAAAUCAACGGUGUAUCUAAUUAUCGAAAAAGGUAUUAAUACUAUGCAGAAAAACUAAUUGUUUUUUUUACAGAAAAUACUAAAAAUGAAAAAUUGGAUACCAGGGAGCAGGAGAAGAAGGUCCAGGUUGAUUGAAGCCACCAUGUUGAGAAGUGGUUGCGUUCGGUGUCAUAUAGCCAUGUCCCGGCUGAGGUUGAUGAAUAAAGGAGUUCUGAUGCCUGAAUAAUAUUCAAAUAGUUAAACAUAGAACUGUUAUUCUCACAAAAAAGAGAGAUAGAGAGCUCAAAAAGACUUGAAAGAUCCACGUCAAUUUUGGUCAAGUUCAUUGUUUUCAUGAUUAAAAAAGUGUAUAUUCGAGGUUAAUACCUUUGAUUCAUUGGAGGUUGAGGUCCAGGUAGCAUCGUAGGCACUUGAUUGCUCAUUGGUAACUGAUAAUCAGUCCAUUGUUGGUCCCUAAAUGAGCAACAUUUGUUGGUGAUUUCUUUAUACAUAUGCAUAAUUCUUUGCUAUUAAUCCACUAAGCAUUUGAUAUCAUUUUAGCUUACCUCAAAGGCAUUGAUGGUCCAGGUAACAUGGGAUUGGCACAUUGAGGAUCAAAUAAAUUGGGAUUAGACUGAUACCUAUAUUCAAACAUAAUGAAUUCACUGAUAAGUACAACAACAAGAGGAAGAAGAAGAAGAAGUUAAAUAAUGAUUGAAAAACUUUUUUUUUUUUUCAGAAAAUACUAAACAUGAAAAAUUGGAUACCAGGGAGCAGGAAAAGAAGGUCCAGGUUGAUUGAAUUCACCAUGUUGUGAUGUGGUUGCGUUCGGUGUCAUAUAGCGAUGUCCCGUCUGUGGUUGAUGAAUAAAGGAAUUAUGAUGCCUAAUUCAAUGGACAUUGUAGCAAAUUGGAGUAAGCAUGAGUUCUCACCAUGGUUUCAGGAAAUGAAGUUGGAAACUGAGUUGUUUGUUGAAUACUAUCGUUGAUCACAAUGUUCUGUCCACCUUGAUCAUUGCAUAAUAUGGAGCCUUGGUUGACGUCAGCCGGCCUGCUUCCAUGGAAUAAGAUAGAGGAUAAACAGAAGAAUAACUAAAUUGCAAGCAAUCAUCUUCUGAUAAAAUAUGCUUAAGAAUGACGUACGGUGUCAUAUAGAGAAGUGGUGAUUGAAGACCGAAAAGAUCAUCAUCCAUAGAAGAUGGUGGGAACCCUUCCAUCUGACCAAAAGUACAAGAUGAUUAGUACAUACUGAGGUGAAAAAUGAACAGAAAGCACGUAGCAAAGGAAAAAAAAGAGUAUAUAUAUAUGAGUGGAUUACUGGGUACACACGUUACGUAAGUCAAAAUAAAAGAAAAACAAAUAAAUGGUGAAAAGCAUGUUUUAAUGGCAGUCCCAUUAAUUGGAAAAGAAAAGGGUGAAUCUAAGAAAAGAAAAGCCUAUUUUUUUUAUUUUUAAUAUUAAUAUAUCAAAAAAUAUUAAUUUAAUAGUUUUUUUUCAAAAUAAACAGAUUUUCAAAUGCACUCAAACAUAAUUCUAAGUACAAAAACAAAUUAUAUUUUGCUUGCGGGCAUAACAAUCCUGGCAGUACCGUUGCCGUUUUUUAGUUUACACAUUCUCUGGAGUGUCGAUUCCACAUUGAAGCAAAUUAAAAGAAUAAAAGCAAAUAUUAAAUGAUUUAAUAAAAGUGACUAAUGAAAAAGGUGCUUAAAUUCUACAAACAGCAGAUGGAUAGUCGGAAUCCCUUGAACACAUUUGAUAUUUUAAUUAUUCUUAUUUUGUUUAAUGUAAGGUAAUUACCAAUCAAGUUAAUUCAUUGAAUCAUUGUAAGGAAAAAAAAAGUUGAAAAAUACUGAAUAAAAAUGAAUUGCAGUCCCAUUAAUUGGAAAAGAAAAGGGUGAAUCUAAAAUGAGUUAAAAACACUACUUUACCUACCCCAAUUAUGAAGCUUAUAAGAAGAUGCCUAGAAAAUGUAAACACGUGAAUAUGAGAACCAAUAAUAUACUUUUCUUUUUAAAAAAAUUUUAUUUAAAAAAAUUAAAAUAAUAAUUUUUUUUAAAAAAAUUAUUUUUAAUAAAAAAAUAAUAAUUAAAAAAGAAAAAAAAUUCAAAGUUUUUGAAAAGCAUGUGCUCUAACAAUAACAUAUUAAAUAUGUGAUUAAUAGCAUGUGAUUAAAGGUUUUCAGUCGAUGCCAUUACAUGCAGUCAAAGACUCCAUCCUUACUUUUAAUAAACAAAACCUACACUCAAUAAUAUGUCCUAGUUUUUUUGGCCAGUGUUUUUCCGUGGUUUGAUUAAUUUUUUUAAAAUAUAAAAAUAAAAUGUUAAGAGUGAAGAAAGUUUGCGAGCGAUAUUAUUAAACCUAGUCAGGGAAGUUAAUAUUAAAAUCUUCUAACCUAAUUUUUUAUUUAAUUUAAAUUUUUCGAAGGACGAAAUUAAAAAAAAAUCAAUUACAAAAAUUAAAAGAAAAGAAAAAAAAAACAUAUUCGAUCAAUGAGUAAACCUGUCAAACUUGUGAAUCAAGUAAUUUGGGUUAGUACAUCAAACCCAUGAACCAGGUUAUGGACUUAACUAAGAUUAUAAUUAUUAAAUUUUUUUUUUUUUUAAUAAUAUGAUAACAAAAAUAGAUAAUUGUAAAAUUAAACACCAACCAUACACAUACACACACACUAAUUCGGCAAAACUAUGAAAUAGACAAAAAAAAUAAUUUAAAAAAAAUUAAAAAAAAGGGAAAAAAACAAAAAAAAGUAAAACACUGUCAAUUACUAUUAUAAUUCAUAAUGAAAUGAGUGUGGGUGAAUAGUGAUUCUCUUACACCUUUUAGUUUUUCUUUUAAUUAAUAAAUAAAAAAAAUAUCUCACCAAACCUAAAAUCUAGUAUAAUUUGAAUUAUUUUAACAAACCUGUAAAUCAGGUUAAUCUUAUAAAAAAAAUAGAAUAAAAAUUAAUAAAUUGAAGCUGAAUUAUAACCUGCCUAUAAUAAAAUAAACAAAAACAAUUUUUUUUUUUUUAAAAAGGGCAAAACACCUUGAAUUACGUACUAUUGUAAUUUACAAUGAAAUAGGUGUGGAUAUAUAGUGAUUCUCCCAAGUCUCUUAGCUUUUCUUUUAAUGAAAAUUAAUAACCGUAUAAUAUACUUUCUUGUGGAUGCUCUAUCGUUGCUAAAUUAAAACAUAUAUAUAUUUUUUUAUCUACAUCUAUGUGAAACUUUUUUAAAAUAAAAAUAUUUAAAAAGAUAAUGUUAAAAAAAAACAUUGUUAUUUUAUUUUUAUUUUUAAUAAAUACCAUCAUAAUAUGAUAUGGUUUUCUUUUUUACUCAGGUUAUUCAGUUAAUAUGUGAGUCAACCAGUAAACUAAACUUUGGAAUACGUUUCUUAACUAUUCGUAAGCUUCUUAUUUAUUCUUAGUAAUUAAAAUAUUUUUUUAUUUUUAAUAUUAAUAUAUUAAAAAAUAUUAAUUUAAUAUAAUUUUUAAAUAAUCAGAUUUUUUAAUAAACAUAACUCUGAGUACAAAAACAAAUUAUGUUUAGAUUGCGGGCAUAAGCAUAACAAUCUUGACAGUACCGUUGUUGUUUGGACUUUGAGAAUGAUAAAACAAAAGAGUUAGAAUAAAUUUAAAAUAAAAAAUUAAUUUUCUAAAAAUACUUUUAAAAUAUAAAAACAAACUAAUGAUAAAAUAGACUUUCAUACACUUAUCAAAAUCGCAGGAACGCAACAAUCAGGCAUUAGCUUCAAGCAACCAGAGGGAGCUUCACUGCAGUAGAAAACUUCAACAUAGCUUGAUUUGCUAUCCAAUCUGCACACCAUUGGAUAGCAAUUUCUUUUCAUAACAUUUACCUUUGUAAAAAAUUUCUACUUAUUUUUAGUUUUAAUAUCAAAUUCAGUCUUUAAUAUUUAUCUUCAAAAUUUUAAUAUAAAAUUUGACGGUCAAAAUUUCACUUAUUUUUAAUCAAUUAAAUUGAACAAAAUUUUGUUAAGUCAAACAUCAACUCUACAUUGAAUUGUUUUUAGUUUUAAUAUCAAAUUCAGUCUUUAAUAUUUAUCUUCAAAAUUUUAAUAUAAAAUUUGACGGUCAAAAUUUCACUUAUUUUUAAUCAAUUAAAUUGAACAAAAUUUUGUUAAGUCAAACAUCAACUCUACAUUGAAUUGUUUUUCUUCUUAGACCACAAGAGCUCCAUAACAAGUUUAUUGAAAUAAAUUAUCAAAUGAAAUUAAAGGAAUUAUGAUGCCUUGAUGGAGUUUGAGGCCAAUUUUAUAUGAAACUUAAUGAUAAAAAAAUGUCUAAAUCUCCCAAUUGUUGUCUGUUUGUUUAACAGUAAAGAAUUUGAAGAUGCUCGAGAUCGAUACACUAAACAUAAAACUUUUUGUAUAAUACAAACACUUGCUAAUUCAUUGGACAUUGUAGCAAAUUGGAGCACUCACCAUUGUUUCAGGAAAGGACGUUGAAAACGGAGUUGUUUGUUGAAUACUAUUGUUGAUCACAUUGUUCUGUCCACCUUGAUCAUUGCAUGAUAUGGAGCUUUGGUUGACUGGAACCUCCGGUGGUGGCCUGCUUCCAAGGACAGUGACGACAUUAUAUUGUUUUUUGGCAAUAAUAGGAUAAACCGAAGAAUAACUAAAUUGCAAGCAAUCAUCUUCUGAUAAAAUAUGCUUAAAAAUGACGUACGAGAGAAGCUCAAUGUCGGGCAAUAGUGAUUGAAAAUCGAGCUCAUUCCACAUCAUGUUGACAUCCUCCUCUAUAGAAGAUGGUGGGAACCCUUCCAUCUGACCAGAAAAGAUCAGAAAAGAGAAAAAGAACAGAAAGCACGGAUCAGAAAAGAACAUAUAUAUGACUUACUUGUUGGUUAAAGAAAUUCGGAUGAAAAAUAUGAAAUAUAAAUGUUGUUGUUAAUGAUUUAAUCCUGUCUUUUAAGCUAAAUUAUCAUACUCAAAUUCUUUUUAUGAUAGAUAGAAAGAUGCAGGAUAACUGGUGAACAAAAACCUCUUUCAACUCCUCUUUAUUCAUAAUUUGGGGAGCAAAACAAAUGCAAGAUUCAUUGUUUACUGUUAAACAAACCUCUUUCAACUCCUAUUUAUUCUUUUUUAAUUAUUCUUAUUUUGUUUAUUGAAAGGUAAUUACCGAUCAAGUUAAUUCAUUGAAUCAUUGUAAGAAAAAAAAAAGUUGAAAAAUACUGAAUAAAAAUGAAUGGCAGUCCCAUUAAUUGGAAAAGAAAAGGGUGAAUCUAAAAUAAGGAGUUAAAAACGGCAAAGAAUCUUGAAAAGACGAAAACAAUGAAUUUAGUAUUGAUUUAGUAUGAACUCUCUCCACAAGGCAUGGAUUAUAAAAUCCGAGAAAAAGAUCAAUUUAUUUAUCAUGGAUUCCUUUAAAGAUUCAAACCAUACUUACAUAUAUAAAAACAAAAACACCAACAAGAUGAAGUACAAAUAAUUUACCAACAAGAUUCAGGUGCUGGUUUGCUUGAGCAGUAUUCAGCCAAAAAAAAAAGGAAGAGAAAUCACAGAUCACAGAAGAAUAUAUGGUUUAGAAAAAUAAUAAAGUUGCAGCAUACAUAAAUCUAGUUCGCACUGAUCAUGAGAUGUGGAAAGGAAAAUACGGAAUUGUAUAAUGAGAUGAGAUGUGGAAAAGAAUGUUACAGCAGCCGGCUAGAGCGUAUUUGGUAGUGUAGUAACAGUUGUUUUUCAAAUAGUUUUACAUGCUGAAAUACAUGCAAAUGAUAAUAAUAAUAAGUAAUUAACGUAUUGUUUGAUAGGAAGGAAGUUGCCAGGAAGCAACCCAAACAUAUUACAUUACAAGAUAUAGAAAGUUAACGUGUGGACCCGCCUCCAUGUUCACACUUCGAAGAAGCUGCCAAGAAAAUGUAAACACAUGAAAAUGAGAAAGAAUAGCAUAUUUCCGCUUUUGAAAAAUCAUUCAUCACUUUUAAAUACGCAAAUGAUUAUUAAGAAAAUUCAACGACAACAAUACACUCAAGAGCAAUAUUACAGUAAAGAAAUUAAAUCAAUACAGAUAAAUAAAUGAUCCAAAUAUAAUUAAAGAAUCAAUCCAUUUAAUCGAAAAAAACAUGACUGAAUCCAUAAACUACAUGCCCCUCUUUUUCUAAAGGAGGCAGCCCCACUUUUUCAUCACGUCGCCAUGGUCCCCGUGUCCCACACGUUUUUCAGUGACUUUUUGUCAGUUAAAAUUAUUAAAUGAUUUUUGUGGUGAUUUUAGCCCAGCUUUGGGGUAUCAAGUUUCCACGGAGACAAAUUAAAAGAAUAGAAAAAAAUAUUACAUGGAGACAAAUUAAGAGAAUUGAAGAAAAUAUUAAAUGAUUUAAUAGAGAUUAAAAUUUAAUUUUAAAUACAAAUUAAAAUAAAGCAAGGUGACUAAUGGAGAAAGUAGUGGAAUUCUACAAACAGUAGAGCGUCGGGAAUCCUUGCACUUCGCUUUUGAAAAAUCAUUCAUCACUUUUAAAUACGCAAACGACAACAAUAUACCCAAGAGCAAUAUUACAGUAAAGAGAUUAAAUCAAUACAGAUAAAUAUAUGAUCCAAAUAUAAUUAAAGAAUCAAUCCAUUUAAUCGAAAAAAACAUGACUUUUUCAUCAUGUCGCCGUGGUCCCCGUGUCCCACACGUUUUUAAAUGCGUCCAGGCUGGUUCAAAGUGAAUUUCACGACUCCUGAACCUUGACUUGUCUGUGAGAGCUUCAACUCUACAUUGAAAUGCUUUUUCUUAAACUGUGAGACUCAUAAUAAGCUUAUUGAAAUAAAUUAUUAUAAUGAAAUUAAAAACAAAAAUGCUUUAAAAAAAAACAGAGAGACGCCGUGUUUUCUCUAUUGCUACAUGGUAAAAGUCUGAGCAUAUUUAUUAUUAUUAUUAUUAUUAUUAUUAUUAUUAUUUUAAUAAUAUUACUGUUCUAUCUACCGCCUAGAAAUCAAGAACGCUAGUUUCAUUUAAAAGAUUCUAAAGUUCAUAAAUUAGCAGACAGGACGAAAACACAACAAAUCAUACCCAGAGAAGCAAAAGCCAGAAACAAGCUACCUCAAUUCCUGCUCCACCUGGCUAAGAAAUGCAGCGUGCCCACUUGGAAUUACACAUCAUCCAAAUUCCAGGGCAAAUAAUUGGUUGGAAUUGUUUUCUGAGGAGUCAUCUCAAAUUUGAAAAAUAAAAACAGAAAAUAGAUCCAGCAAAUGAUUCCAAAUAUCUUCUAAAAAGAACAAUGAAAUAUGUUUUUUUAUUUACUGUAAGGAAAGAUAUUAAUGGAAAAAAUAAAAAAAUCAAUUUAAAAAAUAUAUAAUAAGUCAAAAUCUAGACUUAAAAUCUAACUAGGUUCCUAGUUGAAUUGAAUAAUUGAGAGUGAAACGUGUCAAGACUGACACGAGUUCAGAAUAGACUCCACAACAGAAAAAACAAAAAAAAACGAUCCAUAUUGUGGCCCGUAGUAGUAUUCCGGAGGAGAGGGUCAAAGAUGGCGGCUGGUUCAAAGGACGAGCUUAAUCUCAUGAAUCAUUUUUAAACCUUUAUAGUAGGAAUUGACACGUGUCCUCUAAACCCUCCUGUCCAUGGUUGUUAAAAUUGCGUUUUAACUUGUAAAAUUGUAUGAUUUUACGAGUCAAAACAUGCAUUACAGGUUGAAUCGCUUGAAAAAAUCAAAAAUGGAUAAAAUCGGGUUGAAAUCAAGUGAAAUCGCGCAACAUCGUGAUUUCAGGACCGAUUUUGCGAUUUUGACAAAAUUAGGCACUGAAACAAAAUUCCCUCCCUCAUGUCCAGCUGUCUUCACUUUUUUUCAGCCUAUUUGGUCCUUGGACUUUAAUUUUCUAGCAAUGUUUCUUUGUAUGAGCUCCAAACUUUGGUGUUUUUUCAAUUGAACCCCCGAUUCCUUUAAUUAAUUAAAUCAAAGUUUAAUUAAGUCCUCAAACUCAUCAAUUCCUUAAUUAAGCUCAUGAUUUCAUUAAUUAAACUAAUCCAAAUUUUAAUUAAAUUCUCAAAGUUAUUAAUUCUUCAAUUUCUAACAAAUUGACUCUCAAAUUUUAUUUGAAUCAUGUAUUUUAAGAUGCUUGAACUAUGUAUGAAUUUUUAUUUGAAGGCUUGAAAUAUGUAUGAAUUUUUAUUUGAAGCAUGAAUUUUUUUUAAUGUAUUUUAAAAUUCCUUACGAUUUUACGAUCCGAGUUUAUGAACGGCUUUCCGUGUCGUGUUAAAAUCGUGAUUUUAACAACCUUGCUCCUGUCCCUCUUCCGAUCCUUGCUAAACCCCUUGUUCUGGUUGUAAUCAUCCAUUAGCGUAAACCUAUGCUUCUCUUGACUUUGAUCCCAAUAAACCAACCCAUAGAGUUGGUGGUAAUGUAAAUGAUAUUACUUUUUAAAUUAUUUUUAUUUUAAAAAAUAUGAAACUAAUUUUAGGCCCCGUUUAUUUGCUGGAAAGUAGUUUAUUUGCUGGAAAAUAGUUUCUUUUUGGAAAGUGAAUUCCGAGGAAAGUGAAUUAUGAGAAAGUAUUUUUCGAUGUUUGGUAGUGUAAUGAAAAAUAAGUUGGAAAACACUUUCCAGUGUUUGGUUAUGUCAUGAAAAAUGAGCUGAAAAAUAAUUUAUUAAUAUUUUAUUUUUCUCAAGUUUAUUAAAAUAAUGAGGAACAAAUCUUACAAAUUAAAAAGUUGAAUGAGAAUGAAAUUGAAAAAACAAAAUCUAAUUUCAUGAAUUAUCUCAAAUAAAAUAAAUAAUAAUCAAAAUAAUAGAGAUCAAAUCUAAAAAAUUAAUAAAAAAUAAAAGAUGAAGAAAUUAAAAUAAUAAUAAUCAAUAUUUCAUAAAUUAUUUCAAAUAAAAUAAGUAACAAUCAAAAGAAUGAGGAUCAAAUUUGAUAGAUAAAAAAUUUCAAUAAAAAAAUGAUAAGGAAAAAGCAAAUAGCAAUUAUAAAAAUAAGGAUCAAAGUUAAUAUAAAAAUAAAAUUUUAAGAGAUGAAAUUAAAAAAUAAAUAUUUAAAACAAAAUAUAUAUAGCAAUCAAAAGUUUGAGGAUCAAAUUUGAUAUAAUCAGCAAAUAAUGAUAUUUUUAAAUUUUUUCCCAACUUCCGGAAAGUGUUUUCCCUCCAAAUUUUUCAGGAAAAUAUUUUCCUGAAAACCAAGUUAAAUUUUUCUUUUACUGGAAAGUGGUUUCCAUUGACCAACUUUACUAUUGGCAAACAAACACAAGAAAGUUUGGGAAGUGAUUUUCCGGAAAUCACUUUCCGGAAAACAAACAUAGCUAAAGGGAAAACACUUUUCUGAAAACCAAGUCAAAUGUUUCUUUGACUGAAAUUAACCGGAAAGUGUUUUCCGUUGACCAACUUUCCUAAUGACAAACAAACACAUGAAAGUUUGGAAAAUGGUUUCCCGGAAACUACUUUUCGAGAAACAAACAUGACCUUAAUGCGUUGGUAUUAACAAAAAUUUUAAAAAUAUUAUAUUAAUAUAUUUUUAUUUGAAAAAUAUUUUAAAAAAACCGUAUGUAGAAUUACUAAACACCCUUAAGCCAGUGAACAAAGACACUAACGACAAAAUACAAAGGAAAAGGGAUAAAAGCAUAUAUUUGGAGAUGACAAAAGGGCUUUGAGAUCAAAGAGGAUAAGUUUUUUCUUUUUUAAUUUUAAUAAUACUUCUGUUCUUUCUAUCCCAAGAAAUAGAGAAUGCUAGUUUCAUUCAUCAAGAUUCUAAAUCUUAUAUUUAGAUAAAUUAGUAGAAAGGACAAAAACCCUAACAAAGAAAUGCAGCAUGCCCGCUUUGAAUUAUAGAUCAUCCAAAUUCCAGGGUAAAUAAUUCGAGAGUAAUUUGAUAGUGUUUAUAGAUUAAUUAAUGAUAUUUUAUUACUUUUUUAUAUUUAUUUUAAAAAAUAAAGAGAUACAACUAGAAAAAGAAAAAUUCAAGAUGAAAAUAUUCUUAUUAUUUUUUAUGAGUCAUGAAUUAUAUAUAUAUAUUUUUAAAUGAAUCUAGAUAAUAACUAAUAAUAUAUCCCUAGUGAUUCCCCUAAUCAUUAUAAAAUAUUGCGUGGGAAAUGCAGGUGAAGAAUUAGAAACAAGGAAAAAUGUCGAGACAAUGAAAAUUAAUUGUUAUAUAAUUGUACAUGGCAUACACUUUAAAGCUCCGAACCUCAGUAAAUGAUUUAAUAGAGAAUAAAAUUUAAUUUUAAAUGCAAAUUAAAAUAAAGCAGAGUGACUCAUGGAGAAAGCACAACUGGAAUUCUACAAACAGUAGAGCGUCGGGAAUCCUUGCACACCUUUGGUAAUUUAAUUAUUCUUAUUUCGUUUAAUAACUCAAAUAUAAUAAAGAAUUAAUCCAUUUAAUAGAGAAAACAUGACUGAAUCCAUAAACCACAUAAAUCCCUUUUUCUUAUCUGGUGCAAUUCCCAUGCGUCUUCUUUAUUCCAAAUGCCCCUCUUUUCAAAUUAGGCAUCUUCAAUUCAAUCUCCUUUUUCAUCACGUCUCCAUGAUCCCCGUUGUGUCACAAACAAAUUGCCUAAAGUUUAGGACUUUUUAUUGACAGCCACGUACAUGCUUUAGGAGUUUCUUUUUUGAAAUCCUCAUUAGAGGCUAAUUUAUAGCCUUUCAAGAUACCUUUCCAACACGUCAAGAAUCACAGCAAUCCGAUAUGUGAGUGAAAAGUUAUGAUUAAAAUACUAAAAUGUGUGGAAAAGAUACCUUUCCUACGACUUUGCUAAAAUUAUCUGACAAAUUAUCAGGCUUAUAAAAAAGCUUAAUAAAAUCAGAAAAAAAAAUCAUUUUUAUUCAAUAAAAUAAAAAAGAAAACUCAGGUAAUAAAUGUUCAAUUCACUUUCCAGCCAACAAUAAAAAAUGAAAGUAUUUUUAUUCAAUAAUACUUCUUGGCUUACAAAUAAGCUGCCAACAAUUAUAUAAGAAUCAAAUCUCUCCGAUCACAUGAUCGUUUAAAAUGCUCAACACUUAGAAAGCAAAUUUACAGAAUAAUAAGUCUAGCAAACUUCUUGAUAUAUAUAUAUUAUUCAACCAAAUAAUUGCUUGUGACAUAUAGGUGGCGAGCUUCCUAGUAUUAAAAAUUUAAGAUCAUCAAAUAAUUAAACUUUUUAUCCAAAGCAAUAAAUUUUAUGUGUCUAUUUUAAAAUUUGGUUUUCGAAAGAAAAUCAAAAUGACAUAUCAAACAAUACCUAUAAAUCUUUUAUAUUACAGAUUAACUAUAACACCUAUUUAUCAUUCUUAAGGUCAAUAUUUAGGAAUAAAUGAAUAAAAGCUACGUAUCAAUAUUUAAUUUAAGUAAUCUCAAAGACUACUAAUUUAGCUUUUGAUAUUAAAAGGGCGUAUGUCGUUACUCUCUGCCUAGUUGAUGGGGAAAAUAUCAGGUCUUCUAUCUCCACCACUCCCUGCUAACUCUUUUCCUCAUAUCUUACGUUAUAUCUAUCAAGUUUGCUUAAUUAAGAUGGAAUAUUUAUGACUUUUAUAUGUAUUAAAUCAAUUUAAUUGUUUUGACUUAUCAUGAUCAACAUGAAGUCAUCAUAUUAUAAAACCAAAAAUCAAUGGUGUAUCUAAUUAUCAAAAAGGUAUAAAUAUUGCUAUGAAGUUAACGUGUGGACCACCCCAAUUAUGAAGCUCGGAAGAUGCCUAGAAAAUGUAAACACGUGAAUAUUGAAAACAAUAACAUACUUUCCUUUUUAAAAUGUUUUUUAUUUUGAAAAAAAAAAUUUAAUAAAAAAAUUAAUAAUUUAAAAAGUAAAAAAAAUUCAAUUUUGUUGAAAAACAUUUGCUUUAACAAUGACAUAUUAAAUAUGUGAUUAAUUAAGAGCAUGUGAUUCCUUUUGUUUUUAGUUGUUUUUUCAAAAAAAGAUAUAUAGAUUUUUUUAAUGUUUUUUUUUAUAUAAUUUUAAUGUAUUAAUAUUAAAAAUAAAAUAAAUAAAUAAAUAAAUCAUGUAGUCUAUUUCCAAACCAAUCUAAUAUUGGAGGUCGAAAUUAAAAAAAAAACCAAUUAAAAAAAUUAAAAGAUAAAAUUAAAAAAAAAAAACAUAUUCGAUCAGUGAAUAAAUAUAUUAAACCUGUAAAUCAGGUAACUUGAGCUAACACAUCAAACUUAUUAACAAGGUUAUGGAUACCAAUUGAGUUACUUUUAGGAUAUUUUUUUGGCAGCCACGUAUAUGCUUUAGGAGUUCUUUUUAUUAAAUCAAUAUUAAAGUAAAAAAAUUAAAUCAAUACAGAUAAAUAAAUGAACUAAAUGUAAUCAAACAAUUAAUCCAUUUAACAGAAAAAACAUUACUGAAUCCAUAAACUACAUUAAUCCCUUCCUUUUCUUGUUUUUUUUUUUUUCUCUGGUGGAAUUCCCACACGUCUUCUUUAUGGGCAGCCCCACUUUUAAACCCUCUUUUUCAUCACGUCCCCAUGGUCCCCGUGUCCCACACCUUUUCAUCAAAAACCUAAAUUUUAGGACUUCUUUGGCAGCCAUCUAACAAUAUAUAAAAAUAAUAUUUUUAUUUUUAAAAAAUUAUUUUUAACAUCAAUACAUUAAAUAAUCUAAAAAUAUAAAAAAAAUAUUUAAAAAAAUCAAAAUUUUUAAAAACACAAGCAUUCCCAAACAAGAUAACGCGUCAAGAAUCACAACAAUCUGACAUGUGAGUGGAAAGUUGUGAUUAAAACACAUUACUACUUUUAGAUUGAUUUUGACAGCGUAGCAGGAAACGUCAUUAUUGUUAUUUUUAAAAUAUUUUUUUUAUUUAUAAAUAUAUUAAAAUAAAAGUUGUUAAUUUCGUUUCGUUUUAUUUGUAAUGAUUUCAUACUAAUUCAAAAAAUGAAAUAAAACAAAAUAAUUUUUAUCUUAUUUCAAAUAUCAGUCCCUUCCAAAUUUUUCAGCUAAAUUCCGUUUAGAAUGUUCCGGUUUCAUUCCACAUGUUCUGUUCUGGUCUUAAAAAGCUAUUGAAUCAAAUUGAACCUGGUUCAAUUAAUUAAUUAAACCAUCAAAGUAUAAAAAGCUCUUUUUCAUUACUAUUUUCAUUAACUAUGAUAUUAAUUUUUUGAAAUUUGAUUUAUCACUAAUAUUUAUGGUUUAUAUUCAUGUUGUUUUUUUUCAAGUUUAUACUUUGUAGGAAUUUAAGCAAAAAAAAUAGAUGUUUUAGAUCUCAUUAGCCUUGAUAACAUUGACCUAGCUUUAUAUUUAAAAUAUUAGUGUUAAAAUAUUUUAAUUUCAUAAUAUUUUGAUAUUUUAUUGAAGUUGAAUUGUUUUAAGUUAAAAAAUUAUUUAAUUUUAACUAUUUAAAAAUAUUUUAAAUUUUAAAAUUAUAUUUCAUCACGUCUCCAUGAUCCCAGUUGUGUCAAAAACAAAUUGCCUAAAUUUUAGGCUUUAGCAGUUCCUUUUUUGAAAUACUCAUUAGUGAAAUUUCACGACUCCAGCUGGGCCUUGACUUGUCUGUUUAAUUUCUAUUAUUUUUAUUCCAUUUUAGCAUUUUAGCAUUUAAUACUCAUCAAAACCACUAAAACGAAAUCAAGCUCUAGCUUCAAACAACCAGAGGGAGAUUUUAUAGGGAUAAAAUUUUAAAAAUCACGCCUAUGCUACUUUCUAGUUUUAGUAUUAAAUUUAAUAUUUAAAAAAUGUGUUUAUGAAUAUGGGAGUUUCAGGUUUAGAAACCAAAACUGUCAUAUUCAUACUCUCUCUUAGACAUUUUAAAAAUGUGUGUAGAAGAAUACUUUCACUGAUGAUUUAUAAUAUUAGGUUAGUUUAAUGAUAAAUCAAUAUAGUAUUUUUUUUAUUUCUUGGAUUUUCAUCUUGGAGAAAUUCAAUAGGAUGAAAAUAUAAUAUUAAUCAAACUUCAAAUUAUAAUUGUUUAUCUAUCGAGUUAAAAAAAAAUAUGACAAUUCAGUAGUCUUUAAUGAAAUAAAACAAAAUGAAAAAUGUUAUUUAUGUAAUUGUAAGCAUACUAUAUUAUAUUACUUUUACAAAGGGACGAAGGACAUCCUUUGCGUUAGGAUGCUCCCACUCCACUACUGACUCCCACCAUUCUUCUGGAUAUACCACAAUUUCUUUAAGAGAAGGGGGAGGAGAUGGCUGGCCAUUUUCAAGCAACGGAAGACAAAUUGGCAUCCUCUUCAGCUUCUCACAAGACAUUACACUAAUAUCUUCAAGAGAAUUGCAAAUCAGUUUUGCACUGCAAAUGCUUUUCAGUUCUGGUAAGUAAAUCAAUUCCAGAGUUUUUAACUUUGGGAGAAUGACUUCCGUGAUGGAAUUGGAGGUGCUGCUUUCUUCAUCUGUUGUUCCUAUUAUCUCCUCCAUUUUCUCACAGCACCUCACAUCAAUCCUUUCCAGGUUUACGAGGAUUGGCAGCAACACAAGUGGGAACAGCUUCUUCAUACUUUUACACCAUCCACAAUUAAACUCUUUAAGACCAGAAAACGUACCGUUACAUGAUGGCAAUCGUGGUGGAGCAGAGCAGAACCAAGAAGAUGAAACCAAGCUCUCCAUGUUAUCGCAUUCCCGAAUGCUGAUGCGCUCCAGUUCAGUUGCAUUCUCUAAUGACAAAACAUCACAUAAACUUCUUGCAUCGAUGCAUUCACAAAUCAGUCCUUGAAUGCCAUUUAAGAACUUGACCUGAAAAUCUCUAUCUCCUUUGAUACUCAAAUUACCCAACCCAACUGUUUUACUUGGAAAACGUUCAAUGCGUUGCUCUAAAUAUCUAUCCACCUCUGCUACUAAAAUCUUGCAUGUGCUUAAUGAUAGGAUCCCAUCCCGAGAUCUGAGAUACUCCACGAAGUCAGAAAAACCUUCGAAAUGGCACUCCAAAGUUUCCAAAUUUCUCAAGGAUCCUACUUCCUUUCCUUUAACUGUUAUCGGAGCAUAACAUUCCCCUAUAAACUCUUCUAGUACAAAGACUUGCAGGUGAGAGAGUUUUGGUAAUAUCCCACUAGGAAACUCCUUUUCACCAUAUCCAUUCAUUCUAAGAUACCUCAGGUUGGUUAGGCAUUCCAUUCCUUGCGGUAUCUUUUCAAGUGCAGUAUGAGAGAGACUCAAUCUCUUCAGUGCCUGGAGCUUCUCUAAUGAUGGAACACGUCUUAAUUUCUCACAAUGAUUGAGCAAUAAUGCUGUGAGGCUCACCAAAUCAGAAACAGAGUCUGGCAAAUUUCCAAUAUUUGUCCAAGACAGAUCAAGGACCUUAAGCCCAUGCAAUUGCUUGAAAAAUGAAUCCGCAAUAAAUCCCAACCAAUGAUUUUGACAUAGCAAUAGAGUUGAUAGAUAGGGACACCUAGGUGAAUGACUGGAAGGAAUUUCUUCGAUCAUGUUGUCCAUUAGUGAAACUCUCGUCAGAUUCUCCGUCCACUCCUCUGCAUCUGGCAACUCUUCUAAUUGUGCACCUGCUUUGACCAUGCCUUGAGAGUUCUCUAGCAGUAUUUGGAUAGCCAUGUCCCUAAUCAAGUCAUGCAUCUUGACACGUCUAAUAUCAUCAUACUUCCUUGUAGCACUUUCCAAUAGGCAGACAUUUUCAAGUCGAUUAAGCAUCGUGUGGCCCUCAUCAAAUGCAUCUCCCCUGCUCCUCUUUCCUUUAAUUAUUCCCUCAUCGAUCAAAUAACCUAUCAACUCCCCCCUUUUAAUCUCAUCAUCUUCAGAAAAUAAUGCACAGUACAAGAGACAUUGUUGUAGUGUUAAAUCACCUAACCGAUCAUAACUAAACCUCAAUAACUUGAAUACUUCAUUGUCCUUAAAUUCUGAUUCUCUCAAUUUGUUCAAUGUAUUUCUCCACUCAUAUAGGUCAUCCACUCCCCUCAAGCUUCCUGCCACUGUAAUAAUUCCUAAUGGCAAACCAGCACAUUCCCUUGCAACAGCUUUCGCAAUUCUUUCCACUUCUGGUCAAAGUGCUACAUCACGUUGAAGCUUCUCCAUGAACAAAGUCCAAGCUUCUCCAUUAGAAAGUGGCUUCACUUUGAUUUUGUGCUGGCAAGCCAUCCGAUGACAAAUCGUUUCUGAUCGAGUUGUCAUAAUCAGCUUGCAUCCUUCCAACUUUUCAGGAAUUCCCACUUUGUGUAGCUCAAAAUUGUUCCACAAAUCAUCUAAAAUGAGAAUCCAUUUUUGUUUCUUCCUUAGUUCUUCUGACAAUUUGGCAGCUCUAUGCAGUUCAUCAUUUUUUCUUGAAAGAUCUAGAUCGAGAUGUUCAGCAAUAAGAUUCUGCAAUCUAUUAAUGCUGAAAUCUUGAGACACGGUCACCCACCAAACAUUAUCACAAAUAUCUGGUCUUUGUAGAAGCUCAUUAUGGAUAUGUUGCAGUAUUGUGGAUUUACCAACUCCCCCCAUCCCAUAAAUGCCAAUGGUUGAGACUUUCCCAUCCAUUAACAAAGACCAUAUCACCUUCGUAUUCUCUUCGAAUGCUUGACCCACCGGCUUUGUAGAGCUAGUAGGUAAUGGAACUCCUCUAGUCUUGUUGUAUUUCAGACUUUCAGAAGAUCUAGCUCCAGCACCAACCUGCACUGAUCUUUGACUAUUCUCCACAUCCUCCUCCACUGGUUCUGUCCUCGCUCUAACCCGAUUAAUUCUCUCUUCCCCGGCACCUUGUUCCAGCACCCCCUGAACUCCAACUUGUAUCCUUCCAGCACCCCCCGCCAAAUUGCCAAGUACUGCAUUGCUUUGUUCCAACGAUCGAUCCACUGGUUCUGUCCUCGGUCUGCUCUCGAGUGCCCCUUCGGAAACUCCAUCUUCUUGUGCUCUCAUUCCGGUCAUGCUUACUGCGUCGUUUCCCGCUAUUGCAUGUGAAGUAAUCCUCUCUUCCCCUACUCCAGGUUCUACAACCUGAACUUCUCUUUGUACCCUUCCAAUUCCUCCUACCAUUCUUGAAAUUCCACAAUCAUUAACAUUGAUUGAACCUGCUGUGAUUUUAUGUCUUUUGUUGCCACCACACAUAGCUUUCCAGGCUGCUUCUUGAACUUCUUUAGGCACCCCAUGACAAAUGGCAACAUUAUGCCCUUCCUCUCCUGAUAAAUGCCAUUUGAUCCUUGAAAUGGAGGUUUUAUUGGCAAAUGUGUGUUGACAAAACUUACACUUCAUGCUACCAUCAGUCCUAUCUUCAAUAUAAUUCCAAAAUGAAUCCUUUGAUCGAACCAUUUCAACCUAUAUAAAAAAUGUAGAAAUGUAAAGAACUAUAAAGAGCUGCCCUGCAUUUACUGAUGAAGGAAAAGAACAGUGAACUUAGUUCACGAUUGAGAAGAACAAAUGCUUAAGUAAAACACAGAGCUUUGAUUAUCAAAUGUAAAGAACAAAGAGCAGAAUUGAGUUAGUUGGUUACUGCCAUCCCAAGUCUUUAUUUAUAAAGGGAAAGAAACAGAAUUUGAAUGGAAAACAAUAACUAGAAACGUGCCUGCCUUCUUCUCCUUUAUUUAAGGAGAUGAUUACAAGUUAAUUCAAUCCUAGAUAAUCUUAACAAAGAAAUCAAAAACAUAUCCUACACUAGAUAAUAGUCUCAGCUAAAAUAAAGAAAUAAUGCAGCAGUGAAUUACUGCUAAGUCUUCUGCUUCUGCUAGCUUAGGUACCAAGCUUCAACACUCCUCCUUGGUUCCAAAGCUAGUCAUUCCAAUUCUUGCCCUUAGAUCUUCAAACCUGGUUUUACCCAACGGUUUGGUGAAAAGAUCUGCUAGUUGAUCUUCAGAAGUGCAGUAGCACAGUUCCAGUUCUCCUUCUUGUUGAAACUGCCUGAGUGCAUGAAACUUGAUCUUCAUGUGCUUGGUUUUAUCAUGGAAGACAGAGUUUUUAGAAAUGGCUAUAGCUGAUGUAUUGUCACAAAACAAUGUUGUGGGAUUGUGUUGAUUGCAGUCUAAGUCACUUAGCAUCUUCCUCAGCCAUAUCAGUUGUUUUGCUGCUACAUAAGCAGCUAUAUAUUCGGCUUCUGCAGUAGAAUGUGCCACCACCGAUUGUUUCUUUGAAUUCCAGCAAAACAUACUCUUUCCCACAGCAAAACAGUAGCCUGAUGUGCUCAUCAUUCCUUCAUCACUUCCUCCCCAAUCACUGUCUGAAAAACCAACAAGAUUAAUUGAGCCGGACUUCACAAAGUGUAUGCCAAAACCUGCAGUCCCUCUUAGAUAUCUUAAUACUCUCUUAGCUGCCACAAAGUGAUUUUGACUUGGCUCUUGCAUGAACCUGGAAAGAUAAUUCACAGCAAAUUGAAUGUCAGGACGUGUGGCUGCUAAAUACAGCAAACUCCCAAUUAGACUCCUGUAGAUUUUCCCAUCAGCUUUUGGUGAGCCAUCCUCUUUCAUUAGCUUCUGCCCCUGUAUCAUAGGAGUGCUUACUGGCUUGCAAUUGUUCAUUGCAAAACUGUCCAGUAUUUUCAAAGAAAAACGUUGUUGACAAAGAAAAUAACCUUGAUCAGUUUGAGUUACUUCCAUUCCUAAAAAAUAAGUCAACAAACCAAGUUCAUUCAUCUCAAACAUGUCUUUCAUAUUGGUUUUGAAUUCCUCUACAAGCUGCUCCUUAUCCCCUGUGAUUAGUAAAUCAUCAACAUAAACUGAUACAAUUAGUUUAUGUCCAGCAGCAUGCUUCACAUAUAAAGUUACCUCAUUCAUGCUCCUGUUAAAUCCCAAGCUUAAGAGAUGAUUAUCCAACCUGCUAUACCAAGCUCUAGGAGCUUGUUUCAAUCCAUACAAUGCUUUCUUCAGUAAAUAAACCUUGUUUGUUGAAUUAGAUUUUUCAAAACCAGCAGGCUGCUCAACAUAAAUCUCUUCAUCUAGCACCCCAUUCAAAAAUGCAGAUUUAACAUCCAAUUGAAAUAUAUACCAACCGUUUUGUGCUGCUAGAGCAAGCAGGAGUUUCAUUGUUUCAUGUCUGGAAACUGGAGCAAAAGUUUCUGUGAAGUCGAUCCCUGCCUCUUGUGAAUAUCCUUUCACUACAAGUCUGGCCUUAUGCUUGUUGAUCUUUCCAUCUGCAUUUACUUUUGUUUUGAAAAUCCAUUUCACUCCAAUCACCUUCUUAUGAGCUGGUCUGUCAACUAGCAUCCAUGUUUGAUUCUUGUCUAUCAUUGCAAGCUCCUCCUUCAUUGCUGCUAUCCAAACUUGAGAGUUCAUGCUUCUUCAACAUUUACUGGUUCUGCCUCGCUACAUUGCACCUGCUAUAGAUAUCUGAUAGAGAUCUUGUCCCUCUUACUGGUUGAUCAUCACUGUUUUCUGCAGCAUCCAAGUCAGUUUGUUGCUCAAUAUUCCCAGCAACAUCUGUUUGUUGAUUAAUCAUGUUUGCAUCAUCCAACUCAUCUUGUUGCAUCGGUUUUGAUUCUUCAUUUGAUGAAUUUUUCCAGUUCCAAGCUGCAUUUUCUACAACUUUGACAUCUCUAGCAACCACCACUUUGUUAACAUUCAAAUCAUAGAUUUUAUAAGCUUAGAAUUUGUACUAUAGCCUAUAAGAAUCCCUAUAUCAGCCUUUUGAUCAAGUUUCCUUCUUCUGACUUCAGGUUUCAGAACAUAACAAAUACUUCCAAACACCUUUAAAUGAUCAAUACUGGGUUUAAAACCAUACCAGAGUUCAUAAGGAGUUUUAUCUGCCAAAACUCUUGAAGCCAUUCGGUUUAUAAGGUAUGCUGCUGUGUUUACUGCUUCUGCCCAGAAAUUCAAUGGCAACUUCUUCUCAUAGAGCAAGCAUCUAGCCAUCUCCAUCAAUGUUCGGUUUCUUCUUUCACUUACACCAUUCUGCUGUGGUGUGUAGGGAACAGUCAGCUGGUGUUUAAUCCCUUCUUUAGCAAGGUAUGCUUCAAAUUGUCGAGAGGUAUACUCUCCUCCAUUGUCAGAUCUCAAAGUCUUCAAUUUGUUUCCUGUUUCUAGUUCAACUGCUGCCUUGAACUUAACAAACUCAGCAAACACAUCAGCUUUGGAUUUUAGAAAAUAAACCCAGCAAUACCUGCUAAAAUCAUCAAUAAACAGAAGAAAGUACUUUGAACCAUUUAAUGAUUCAUUGUGCAUAGGUCCACACACAUCUGUGUGUACAAGCUGAAGUUUAGAUACUGCCCUGUAUGCAUUUUCUGGAAAAACAGUUCUGGUUUGUUUUCCCAGCUGACAAGCCUCACAUAUAGUUUGCUGCUCCUGAAUAUUUGGCAACCCGUGAGCCAUCUGCUGGUCAGCCAUUCUUUUUAAAGUAGCAUAAUUGAAGUGUCCCAGCCGUUUGUGCCAAAGAACAGAUUCCUUGCACUCAUAAGUAUUAGCACUUAAACACACUUCAUUCCAAUUAACAUUAAAGCUUCGGUUCAUCAUUUUUGCAGACAGUAAAAGCAUUCCAUUUCUAUCUUUAAUGUCACACACUCCAUCAUUAAAAACUAUUGAAUAUCCAGAUUCAAUCAAUUGACCCACACUAACUAGAUUUGGUUGAUCUUAGGCACAUAAAGAACAUUUUUAAGAAUUUUUGUACCUGACAGUGUUUCUACUGCAAUUGCUCCUUUUCCUUCAACUUUCACAAGUCUCCAUUGCCAAUUCUGACUUUAGACAGGUAGCUUCUAUCCAAGUCUCUGAAUAAGCUUAAGUCUGCUGUCAUAUGAUUAGUGCAGCCGCUAUCAAUGAGCCAUGAUGAGUCCUUUGUCUCUGCUGAAUUACAUAUGUCCUGAACUGUGACCAUGAAUAGAAGUUCUUCUUUGACUUCUGAACAAUCGGCUACUUGUGCUUGUUGUUCAGUUUCUGUUUUAUUUUUGCAGAAUCUUUGAUGUGACCAAAUUGCUUGCAUUUUCGGCAUUGAGCAUUCUUGAGCCAACACCAGGCUUCAAGAUGAUUGUUUUCUGACAGUAUUUGCAAGCAGGAAAAUGUUCUUUCUUCUCUUUCCCCCUCAUGAAACUGUUAUUGUUGUUCUGUUGCCAGUUAGCAGAUUUCCAGUCUCUCCCUUUUUCUCUUUUUCCUUCUUGAUUAUUUCUGAAGAUGUUCUUAGCCCGACCCUUAUCCUUGUAAACUGCAACAAGAGCUCCUUCACUUGAUCCUUCUUGUCUAUAUGCUUGCCUUUGCUCCACAGCUUGCAAUGCAUUCACCAAUUCUUGCAGCUUAUCUCAGAAAAAUCUUUAGAAUCUUCUAAAGAACAGAUUUUAUGUUCAAAUUUUCUGGCAAACUCACCAGGACUUUCUCUACAAUUCUAGAGUCUGGAAAAUCUUCUCCCAAGAGUCUUACUUGAUUCACAAGUUUUGAAAUUUGAGAAGAGAAAUCUUUGAUGCUCUCAUUUUCUUUCAUCUUCAGACCUUCGAAUUGUCUUCUCAGAUUCAGAAUCUGCAUCCUUCUUGAUUUCUCAUCACCAUGGAACUCUGCUUUUAAUUUAUCCCAUGUUUCCUUGGCAGAUUUGCAUGCCAUGAUCCUCGUGAAGAUGUCUUCACUUACAGCAUUAUGAAGACAAGAAAGAGCUUUGAAUCUCUUUGCCUUUUCUUCAUUAAAGAACUUCAUCUGUGCAAUUGUGGGAUUGUUACCUAGAGGAGUAGGUUGCCUAUCACUUUCCACUAUCUCCCAUAAAUCAAGAGCUUUGAGAUAGGUUUCCAUUUUUACAGCCCACACACCAAAAUUCUGCCCUGCAAACAAUGGUGUUUUUGCUGGAAAAUUUGCAGAAUCCAUUGCUUAAAAAAAAACUCACUCAAUCUCUCGUGUAUCACUCACCAGCCCUCAAAGUAAAACUUUGAUUUAUCCUCACAGUACUCUCGUGUUUCUCACUCACAAAGAAUCCCUUCAAAGAUCAAAAAAAGCUCUGAUACCAAUUGUAGAAAUGUAAAGAACUAUAAAGAACUGCCCUGCAUUUACUGAUGAAGGAAAAGAACAGUACUUAGUUCACGAUUGAGAAGAACAAAGGCUUAAGAAAACACAGAGCUUUGAUUAUUAAAUAUAAAGAACAAAGAGCAGAAUUGAGUUAUUGGUUACUGCCAUCCCAAGUCUUUAUUUAUAAAGGAAAGAAACAGAAUUUGAAUGGAAAACAAUAACUAGAAACGUGCCUGCCUUCUUCUCCUUUAUUUAAGGAGAUGAUUACAAGUUAAUUCAAUCCUAGAUAAUCUUAACAAAGAAAUCAAAAACAUAUCCUACACUAGAUAAUAGUCUCAGCUAAAAUAAAGAAAUAAUGCAGCAGUGAAUUACUGCUAAGUCUUCUGCUUCUGCUAGCUUAGGUACCAAGCUUCAACAAAAAAAAGGUAAGUCAAAAUAAAGAAUAAAAAUUGAUGCAAGUUACACCAUAUCCAGAUGGAUGAGAAACUACUUCUUCAGUGUUGUUACCCUUAUUUUGCUAUUAAAAUUGAUAGUUAGUUUAUUGCACAAUCAUAGGAGGGAAAAAGACGACGAUAAUUCAGUUAUACUUCUUACUUGUUGAGUAUUUAAACCCCUAUUUUGACUUUGCAGGGAAGUGCCAAGGCCAGGAUUUGAGGCAUUUGGCGUAGCAGUUUGAUUUUGCAAUCCUCGAACUUGGAGGUUAUCCAUCUGUGACCUAUAUAUAAAUGAAGUGAUCAUAUUAUAAAACCUUUCCAUAAUUGGUAGUCUCUCUUAAGCAGUAAAAGUUAAUGGUGUUAAAACACAACAGCUAGAAGUCAAUCAGUACCUAGGCACGAAGUUCUCUUGUUGGACAUUGUCUAUGUUAGGAAUUACAGGUCGAUCGACUUGUCCUUGAUUACAAAAAUAUUGACUCCUGAAUCCAAAACCAUUUGCAAACAAUAUGUUUAGCUUGUUGGGUUCAUGUUCAAGCCAUGAUGUUUCUUUCCUGAUUGAAAAACUAAUUUUUUUUUUAUAUAGAAAAUACUAAACGUGAAAAAUUGGAUACCAGGGAGCAGGAAAAGAAGGUCCAGGUUGAAUGAAGCCACCAUGUUCUGAAGUGGUUGCGUUCGGUGUCAUAUAGGCAUGUCCCGGCUGAGGUUGAUGAAUAUUGGAGUUCUGAUGCCUGAAGAAUAUUCAAAUAGUUAAACUUAGAACUGUUAUGCUGACUUGGUUGAUUUUCUAGUUCCAUUAUGUGCACAAAAAAAGAGAGAUAGAGAGCUCAAAAAGACUUGAAAGAUCCUCGUCAAUUUUGGUCAAGUUUAUUGUUUUCAUGAUUAAAAAAGCUUAAAUUCAUUCAUUGAUUUAAUCAUUGAUUCAUUGGAGGUUGAGGUCCAGGUAGCAUCACAGGCACUUCAUUCAUUGGAGGUUGAGGUCCAGGCACUUGAUUGCUCAUUAGUAACUGAUAAUCAGUCCAUUGUUGGUCCCUAAAUUAGCAACAUUUGUUAGUAAUUUCUUUAUACAUAUAGCAUGGGAUUGGCACAUCGAGGAUCAGAUAAAUUAGGAUGAGGCAGAUACCUAUAUUCAAAUAUAAUGAAUUCAUUUAGUGUAAUACAUUGGCAUCACUGAUAAGAAUAUUAGGCAGAUAAGUAGAACAACAACAAGAAGUUAAAUAAUUAUGAAUAUUAUGUACAAGAAGAAUUUAAAUAAUGAUUAUUCUCACUUAGUUGAUUUUCUAGUUUCAUUAUGUGAAGCAAAUCAGGAGACAGGGGAAACAUGGGGAAGGCAAGGACUCUUGAAAGCUGAUUAAAGCUUAUUAGCUGUAGUUAUUAUUUCCUAUUUAGCUGAUAGGUUCCUAGUCAGAUUAGUAUUAGAUUUCAAUUACGUAUUAGAUCGUAAUUCCUUAGCUGUAGGGUAUUUAAGAGGGGAACAGAACAAAAGAUGGGACAUUAUUUGUAUUCUUGGCAAUUACUUUCUUUAAAUACAAAUUGGAGUGAUUCAUCUACAUAGAUAUUCUGUAUUAAAUUAUUUAUUGUUCUUACUGGGAGCAACGAGAGGUUGUACCGGAGGGCAUUUACAUUAAUAUGUGCAUAAAAAAAAAACAGAGAGAGAGAGAAAGAGAUAGAGAGCUCAAAAGAAGUUAAAUAAUGAUGAAUACCUUGAUGGAGUUUGAGGCCAAUUUGGUUCAUUUUGGUUGAUCCGUGAUGAUAUCGAGCUUUGGUUGUCUGGAACCUCCGGUGGCAGCCUGCUUCCAUGGACAGUGACAUUAUUAGGAUAAACGGAAGAAUAACUAAAUUGCAAGCAAUCAUCUUCUGAUAAAAUAUGCUUAAGAAUGACGUACGAGAGAAACUCAGAAAUAUUGAAUGUAUCUUCAAUGGUGUAUCUAAUUAUAAAAAUGAAGUGAUCAUUGUUAAAUAAUAUUUAUGUAGUCUUAUUUAUUAAGGGUAGAAUAGUACUUUCAGUUUAACCUAUAUAUACUUUAUUUGUAUUUAGGUUAAGACUAUGCAUUCAUAAUAAACAGAUUAUUCAGAAUUGUAGCCUCCUUUUUGUGUUUGAUCUCAAUAAGUUUAACAUGGUAUCAGAGCUGGUUUUAUGAAACGAGGCUUAAUCCCAAAUACAGCUUCGCGGAUCCAAUUUUUUUUUGAAGUGAUAUUUUGUCUUCCGCUUCUACAAAAUUGGGUAUUUCGACAGUUUCUAUAAUUAUUUUGGUAUUUCGACAGUUUCUGCAAUUAUUUUGGUAUUUGCAUUCAGUUUUUGCAAAUUUAUUUUGUGUUUUGGAGUAAUCGUAUAAUUUCGAGAAGAUAUUUGUUUAGUUUUUUGCAAUCUCUAUUCAGUUUCUACAAAUUGGUAUUUAGUUUUCCGCUGCUUUUGCAUUCUGGUUCUUUGUGACUGUUGGUUAUGGCUACUGAAAGAGAUGAUUCGCUUCAAUUUGUGAGUGUGAGGUUGGAUGGGAAGAACUAUUCGUAUUGGAGUUAUGUAAUGCGAAAUUUCCUUAAGGGUAAGAAGAUGUGGGGGUAUGUUAGUGGAACUUAUAUAAUACCUAAGAAUAUUGAAGAGGGGGAUGUUGUUUUGAUAGAUACAUGGGAAGCAAAUAAUGCAAAGAUUAUUACUUGGAUCAACAAUUCUGUUGAGCAUUCGAUAGGUAUGCAGUUGGCGAAGUAUGAGACAACAAAAGAGGUUUGGGAUCAUCUGCAAAGGUUAUUCACACAAUCAAAUUUUACAAAACAAUAUCAAUUAGAGAAUGACAUACGAGCUCCUCAUCAAAAGAAUAUGAGUAUUCAAGAGUUUUAUUCUGCUAUGACAGAUCUUUGGGAUCAAUUAGCUCUUACAGAAUCGGCAAAAUUAAAGGCAUGUGGUGCCUAUAUUGAGCGUAGAGAGCAGCAGCAAUUGGUACAGUUUUUAACAGCACUUCACAGUGAUUUUGAAGGACUUAGAGGUUCAAUUCUGCAUCGUUCUCCACUGCCUUGUGUUGACUUUGUUGUUAGUGAGUUAUUGGCUGAAGAAAUACGUCUUUAGUUUUAUUCUGAAAAGGGAAUUCUUUCUGCUUCAAAUCCUUCAUUAUUAGCAGUGUCUUCUAAGCCAUUCUCUAAUCAUCAGAAUAAGUCUUACACAAGGGUUGGCUUUGAUGAGUGCAAUUUCUGUAAGCAGAAAGGUCAUUGGAAAGCUCAGUGUCCUAAGUUGAGACAGCAUAAUCAAGCUUGGAAGUCUGGCAAUCAAUCACAAUCUAAUGCUCAUAGACCACCUCAGGGUUAUAAACCACCACACCACAAUACUGCAGCAGUAGCUUCCUCAAGCUCUAUUACCGAUCCUAAUAUUUUGGUUGAGCAAUUUCAGAAGUUUCUCUCCUUGCAGCCACAAGCAAUGUCCGCUUCUUCUUCCAUAGGUCAGUUGCCUCAUAGUUCCUCAGGUAUGUCACACUCUAAAUGGGCCUUGGAUUCUGGUACUUCUCAUCAUAUGUCUCCAGAUUCCUCAUCUUUUACCUCUGUGCCCCUUUUGUCCUCCAUUCCUGUUAUGACUACUGAUGGCACUCCUAUGCCCUUAGCAGGUGUUGGUUCUGUUGUCACACCUCACUUGUCUCUCACUAAUAUUUAUCUUAUUCCAAAACUCAAAUUAAAUCUUGCGUCUGUUGGUCAAAUAUGUGAUUCUGGUGAUUAUUUAGUCAUGUUUUAUGGUUCGUUUUGUUGUAUACAGGAUAUGCAGUCUCAGAAGCUGAUUGGGACAGGCCGUAGAGAGAAUGGACUAUAUAUUUUGGAUGAGUUAAAAGUGCCAGUUGCUGCUGCCGCCGCUGCUACUACUACCGUUGAUUUGUCUUCCUUUCGUUUGAGUCUUUCAUCUUCUAGUUUUUAUUUAUGGCAUUCCUGUCUAAGUCAUGUUUCAUCCUCUUGUUUGAGAUUUUUGGCAUCCACAGGAGCUUUAGGAAAUUUGAAAACUUGUGACAUUUCUGAUUGUAGUGGAUGUAAAUUGGCAAAAUUUUCCGCCUUACCUUUUAAUCGAAGUAUUUCUGUUUCUUCUUCACCAUUUGAUUUGAUUCAUUCUGAUGUAUGGGGACCUUCUCUUGUUGCCACAAAAGGAGGGUCUCGAUAUUAUGUCUCUUUUAUUGAUGAUCAUACUCGUUAUUGUUGGGUUUAUUUAAUGAAACAUCAUUCUGAAUUCUUUGAGAUAUAUGUAGCUUUUCGAGCUCUUAUCAAAACUCAAUAUUCUACUAUGAUUAAAUGUUUUAGGUGUGAUUUGGGUGGGGAAUACACCUCUAAUAAAUUUUGCCAAUUGCUUGCCUUAGAUGGAACCACCCACCAAACUUCUUAUUGCUGAAAAAAAAACAUAGGCACAUUGUUGAAACUGCUCGUUCUCUCUUGUUGUCUGCCUUUAUUUCUAGUGAGUUUUCGGGAGAAGUUGUUCUUACUGUUGUAAGUUUAAUUAAUACAAUUUCAUCUUCUCAAGUUCGGGUCUGUCUCCUUUUGAAAAGUUAUAUGGGUAUGUUCCUGAUUAUUCCUCAUUUAGAGUCUUUGGUUGUACUUGUUUCGUUCUUCGUCCUCAUGUAGAACGAAGUAAGUUAUCCUCUCGAUCCGCUAUUUGUGUUUUUCUAGGCUAUGGUGAAGGUAAAAAGGGUUAUCGUUGUUUUGAUCCAAUAACUCAGAAACUUUAUGUGUCUCGUCAUGUUGUCUUCCUUGAGCAUAUACCUUUCUUUUCUAUUCCAUCCACUACUCAUAACCUGACUAAAUCUGAUGUUAUUAGUAUAGAUCCGUUUUCUGAGGAUUCUAAUAAUGAUAUCUCUCCCCAUGUUCGAUCAAUUGGUACUCAUAACUCUGUAGGUACUGGUACUUUACUUUCUGGCACACCUGAAGCUCCAUUCUCAUCUACAGCCCCUCAAGCUUUAUCUGAGAUUGUGGAUCCACCUCCAUGUCAGUCCAUCCAUAUUCGUAAGUCUACAAAACUACCAGAUUUUGCUUAUUCUUGUUAUUCUUCAUCAUUUACUUCCUUUUUAGCUUCUAUUCAUUUACUUCCUAUUCGAGCAAUUUUUUUUGUUUCAACUUAGGCUCUGAUUCUGACUUAGUUUCGUACGAUAUGACCAUCCUGGGUAUAUUCUGUCACUCAUUACAUAUUGAAAAAUUGACGUACACCUUUAAUAGGUCCUAUGGAUCAUUGUUCUUAGAGCAGUUUCUCAGUCAGAUUUGGAUGCUCAACAUUGUCGGAUCAAGAACCUUUUUGACCAACUAGAUUACUGCUAGAUUCUGUUCUCUAAAACAAUUUUAUCUCACUUCAACUCUUUCAUCAAAGAUGUAGUCCUGGACGUGUAGAUAAAUUUGGACUUUUGAAUCGCUUGAUUUCAAUAUCAUAAGCUCAAAAUAUUCUUGUUUGAAUAUCUAACGUGAAGGCAGAGAAUUCUGCCGCGAGAAGGAUAUUGACUCGAGUCUGCUCUAAAAAAACUCUAUUUUUGGCCUAGUUUUUGUGAUUUUUGUUCUUAUUUCAUACUCUCAGUCAUAUCAGGAUUCUCGGCAUUCGUCAGUUUUUGAGUUAGACCUGGAGAUCCCUUUUGACCAACUAAAUUACUGUUAGAUUCUGUUCUGUAAAACGAUUUUAUCUCACUUCGACUUCUUCAUUAAAGUUGUAGUCCUCGAUGUGUAGAUGAAUUUGGGCUUUUGAAUCACUUGAUUCCGAUACCAGAAGCUCAAGAUAUUCCCAUUUGAAUAUCUAACGUGAAGGCAGAAAAUUCUGCCGCGGGAAGGAUAUAGCCCAAGUUCGCGGGGCUGAUUCGAAGGAUUUUUUUUGGACCAAGGACUGAAUCAAAAAGUUUUAAAAUGAGGGAUUGAAUUGAAGAAGGAUAUUGAAAGCUGGAGAGGGAGGAUGGAUCAUCAUAAAUGAUAGGAUUUUUUCCACACCAAUAAGGAAAAUGAGACCUUGCAGCUGCACCAUCCAGCUGAUUUUCUUUCCUUUUUCGCUGCAAAUUCUUGCUGUUUUUCCUUUAUCAUCAUGUCUGAUUUUGGGAGCUGCAACCACGUUUUUUCUGGCCUCAUUUCAAAGGGAGCAGCUGACCCUAUGGAAGGAAAGAAAACAACCACACCCUCCUCUAAAACUAGAAAGAAAUCAGACGUAAAGAACCAGCAUAAAGUCAGAAUAUUGCAGCUUCCUUUUGCAUUUUUUUUUACUGCAAAUCAGUAGGGAUUUACGUCCUAGGAUUAAUGCAUUGAAUCCUUCUUAAAUGGAGACAUUUUUAGACUAUAUAUAAGCCCUCUAAUGACCUAACGGGGGCAGAAAAAGAGAGAGCCGAAAGAGAGUAAAAAAUAGCAGAAAGAGAGCAGAAAAAAUAAACGAAAAACGCAAGAGAGGCAGGGAUUGAAAAAACAUAGAUAACAGGGGAACAUUGAGAGUUUGUUUUUUUCUUUGAUCCUUUUCGUCAAAAAGAGAAAGGAGAAUAGGGAGGCAGGCGACAGUAAAACCAGAAAAGCCAAUAGAACAAAAGAGGAAGUCUUUCUUUGGUUUUUUAGAGGCAAAACGCAGGAGCUUUUCUAUCGGGUUGUGUCUCAUCUUUUGCAUUUGAAACGUGCAGGAUCUGCAGGUAUGAGUCCCGACUUCCUUCAUCUUUGUCAUAUUUAAAGCUUUGUUUGGUUUUUGUUUUUCUGUUUGUUGCUUUUUGUUUUGGGGACGUUUAUUUUCAUCUUAGCAACAAAGUGGCUUGCUUGCAUACUGUCCAUCCCAUGUCUUUGAGUUUAGUUUAUUAUCACUGUUAGAGCUGCGUUUUUUUUUUUGUUUUACUCCCUAGUGAUGAGAAACUGUAAGCUUUAAACAUCCCUUUCUCCCGUCGCUCAAUCGUUCUUUUGCAAUGGAACGCUAAUUAGAAGCAAGUGUUUAAUUAGGUGCAGAAGAGAGGGUUGAAAAAAAAACGUGAGGGAGAGUCCCUUUCUUCAGUUAAUGCCGAUUCUGGGUUCACACCGUUUUCUUUCUUUCUUUUCUUUUCUUUUGUUUUUUGAGUUUGCAGGGAGGGGUCAUGGUUCAUGUUGUAAUUUUAUUUAGCUUGAGGACCUCGUUUUUUUUAUAUGUUUUGUGCACACUGACUUGUGUUUUUUUUUAAUUGGUGUGCCGAAACUUGUUUAUUUGAGAUGAAUUGUUUUAAGCUUCUUGCAAAUUUUGGAAUAGGUGAAUAUUUUUUGUGAUGUUUGUUUAAUCAUGUUAUUCAUUUUUUUUUAAGAAAAAAAAUGGUUUUUUCUUGUGUGUUGCAUACGGCCAUUACCCUAACAUGCUUUGAAUUUUUUUUUAUAUAUAAAAAAAUAUUUGAAGUUUCGAAAAAGGUGUUUUCGCAUGGAUUUCGUAAACAUAACAAAAAUUAUUUUCUUGCAUUUCUGGAUUCUACAACAUGUUUGUAAAACUCCAAAGGGUAUUGGCCAAUAUUUCAAAAAAAAAAAUCCUUUUUUUUUGGGGGGGGAAUUCAUCUAUUAUUCACCGCUAAUGUUUGGAUAAAGAAAUUCUCAAAGGAUGAAUAUCCAAAAUAUUAUUGGGAGUAAUAAAUCCGCACACAUCCUUGAAAGAAGCCUUGAUUAUAAUCGAGGACAUUUCAAUUUUUUUACUCCAAGGUUUAUGAGCCGUGAGAGUAUAAAACAUUAAAAAAUAUAUCUAUAUAUAGGUUUUUUUUUAGCGCCCUAGAUUUCUAAGAUUUUUGUCCCUCCUCCUUGCGAUUUACGAGUGCAAACUUUUGAAAUACUAAGGGAAAAAUGAGCUUUCAAAGCACAUGGAAUCUCCUUGGAUUUCUAUCCUAAUAAAUUUAGUUUGAAUCAAAUCUAGAAAAACAGAUGGGAUUAGAAAACACCAACACUAUAGCAAUUAUAGCGCAAACCAAACACCAAGCAGCUUACCUUAGGUAGGGCGUACUAGGGGUGCUAAUACCUUCCCUUUACGCAACCAGUCCCUUACCUUAGAAUCUCUGAAAGACUAGUUAGGGUUCCUAGUGACCAAAAUACUAGGUGGCGACUCUCAUAUUCACAAUAAAACAAAAGACCCUGAAAUAAAUCGAAAGUCGUCGCUCCGCCACGAGGGUGCGACACUCCUAUUGAGGUUAAUGCAAGGUACUCUUCUUCUGAUGGUUUACCUUUGAUAGAUCCUACUUUAUACCGCACUAUUGUUGGGAGUUUGGUAUAUCUCAUCAUUACUCGUCCAGAUAUUGCAUAUGUUGUUCAUGUUGUUAGUCAGUUUGUUGCUUCUCCUACUAUUGUUCAUUGGGUAGCUAUUCUUCGUAUUUUGCGAUAUCUUCGAGGUACAGUUUUUCAGAGUCUUUUACUCUCAUCCACCUCUUCCUUGGAGUUGCGUGCAUACUCUGAUGCUGAUCAUAGUAGUGAUCCCACAGAUCGCAAGUCUGUUACCGGGGUUUUGUAUCUUUUUAGGUGAUUCUCUUAUUUCUUGGAAGAGCAAGAAACAAUCUAUUGUUUCUCAAUCAUCCACCGAAACAAAAUAUCGUGCCAUGGCAUCUACCACAAAAGAGAUUGUUUAGUUACGUUCGUUACUUGCUGAUAUGGGAGUUUCCUUUUCUCAUCCUACUCCUAUGUAUUGUGACAACCAGAGUUCUAUUCAGAUUGCUCACAACUCGGUUUUUCAUGAGUGAACUAAGCACAUUGAGAUCGAUUGUCAUCUUACUCGUCAUCAUCUCAAGCAUGGCACCAUUACUUUGCCUUUUGUUCCUUCUUCCUUGCGGAUUUCUUUACCAAGGCGCAUUCCAUCUCUCAUUUUCGUUUUCUGGUUGGCAAACUCUCGAUGCUUGUAGCUGCCGCAUCGUGAGUUUGAGGGGAGAUGUUAAAUAAUAUUUAUGUAAUCUUAUUUAUUAAGGGUAGAAUAGUACUUUCAGUUUAACCUAUAUAUACUUUAUUUAUAUUUAGGUUGAGAUUAUACAUUCAUAAUAAACAGAUUAUUCAAAAUUGUAGCCUCCUUUUUGUGUUUGAUCUCAAUAAGUUUAACAAUCAUAUUAUAAAACCUUUCAAUAUUUGGUAGCAUCUCUUAAGCAGUAAAUAUCAAUGGUGUAUCUAAUUAUCAAAAAGGUGUUAAUACCGUGUUAAAACACAACAGCUAGAAGUCAAUCAGUACCUCGUAGAGUUGCCAGAGUUUCGAGGCACGAAGUUCUCUUGUUGCAUAUUGUCUAUGUCAGGAAUUACAGCAGCUUGAUCGUCUUGUCCUUGAUUAGAAAGAAAUUGAAUCCUGAAUCCAAAAUCAUUCGCAAGCAUUAUGAAGCAUUACAAACUUAUGAUUAUCUAGCUGGGUUCAUGUUCAAGCUAUGAUGUUACUUUCCUCUUUGAAAAACUAUUUCUUUUUUUUUUUUACAGCAAAUACUAAAUAUGAAAAAUUGGAUACCGGGGAGCAGGAAAAGAAGGUCCAGAUUGAUUGAAGCCACCAUUUUGUGAAGUGGUUGCAUUCGGUGUCAUAUAGCCUUGUCCCGGAUGAGGUUCAGGAAUAUUGGAGUUCUGAUGCCUGAAUAAUAUUCAAAUAGUUAAACUUAGAACUGUUAUGCUCACUUGGUUGAUUUUCUAGUUCCAUUAUGUGCACACAAAAAAAAGAGAGAUAGAGAGCUCAAAAAUACUUGAAAGAUCCUCGUCAAUUUUGGUCAAGUUUAUUGUUUUCAUGAUUAAAAAAGUGUAUAUAUAUUCGAGGUUAAUACCAUUGAUUUAUUGGAGGUUGAGGUCCAGGUAACAUCGCAGGCACUUGAUUGCUCAUUGGUAACGGAUAAUUAGUCCAUUGUUGGUCCCUAAAUUAGCAACAUUUGUUAGUGAUUUCUUUAUACAUAUGCAUAAUUGUUAGCUAUUAAUCCACUAAGCAUUUGAUAUCAUUUUAGCUUACCUCAAAGGCAUUGAUGGUCCAGGUAGCAUGGGAUUGACACAUUGAGGAUCAAAUAAAUUAGGAUUAAGCUGAUACGGUGAUACCUACAUUCAAACAUAAUGAAUUCACUGAUAAGUACAACAACAAGAGGAAGAAAUGAAGAAGUCAAAUAAUGAUUGAAAAACUUCUUCUUCUUUUUUUUAACAGAAAAUACUAAAAAUGAAAAAUUGGAUACCGGGGAGCAGGAAAAAGAAGGUCCAGGUUGAUUGAAACCACCAUGUUGUGAAGUGGUUGCGUUCGGUGUCAUAUAGCUAUUUCCCGGCUGAGGUCGAUGGAUAAAGGAAUUAUGAUGCCUUGAUGGAGUUUGAGGCCAAUUUUAUAUAAAACUUAAUGAUAAAAAAAUAUCAUAAAAAAGUCUAAAUCUCCCAAUUGUUGUCUGUUUGUUUAACAAUAAACAUUUUGAAGAUGCUCGAGAUAAAUUGAUAAACGAAAACAUAAGACUUUUUGAUCCAAUGGGUGAUACAAACACUUGCUAAUUCAAUGGAAAUUGUAGCAAAUUGGAGUAGGCAUGAGCACUCACCAUGGUUUGAGGAAAUGAAGGUGGAAACUGAUCAGUUGUUUGCUGAAUACUAUCGUUGAUCACAUUGUUAUCCACCACCAUGUUCUGUCCAUCUUGAUCAUUGCAUAAUAUGGAGCUUUGGUUGCCUGAAAACUCCGGUGGCGACCUGCUUAAUUUGUUAUUAGGAACAUUAUUCUUUUUUGGGAAUAAUAAGAAAAACUGUAGAAUAACUAAAUUGCAAGUAAUCAUCUUCUGAUAAAAUAUGCUUAAGAAUGACGCACAAGAGAAACUCAGAUAUAUUGAAUGAAUCUUCUUGUGAUUGAAAAUCGAACUGAUUCGAUGUCAAGUUGACAUCAUCCUCAUUACAAGACGGUGGGACUCCUUCCAUCUGAGGUUUAAAAAAGAACAGAAAGCACAGAUUAGAUAAGAAUAUAUAUAUAGACACACACACACGACUUAUUUAUUUGUUAAAGAAAUUCGGAUGAAAAAUAGGAAAUAUAAAUGUUGCUGUUAAUUAUUUAAUUCUUUGUUUUAAUGCUAAAUUAUUUGUCACUUGUUGUGAACAAGUUUAAUGAAAGAUAAUUAAUACUGAUCAAGUUAAUUCAUGAAUCAGUAAAAAACAACUUCAUUGAAUCAUUAUGUCAGAAAAAUAUUGGAUAAAAAUAAUUAAUGGCAGUCCCACAGGGCAUGGAUUACAAAAUCUAGUAUUGGAAAAGAAAUCCCAUAUAUAAGGAGUUAAAAACAGCAAAGAAUUUUGAAAAGACAAAAACAAUGAAUUCAAGGUUUAGGGUUAAUUUGGUAUGAACACCACAAGGCAUAGAUUACAAAAUCUGAGAAAAAGAUCGAUUUAUUUAUCAUGGAUUACUUUAAAGAUUCAGACAAGAUGAAGUACAAUUAAUUUACCUGGAUUCAAGAUGUUCUUCAAGUGCUAGCUGGUUUGCUUAAGCAGUGAUCAGCCAAAAGAAAAGGAAGAGAAAUCACAGAUCAGAGAAUAAUAUAUGGUUUAGAAAAAUAAUAAAGAUGCAGUAUACAUAAAUCUAGUUCGCACUGAUCAUGAGAUGUAGAAAGGAAAAUAGGGAAUUGUACAAUGAGAUGAGAUGUGGAAGAGAAUGUUACAGCAGCUAGCUCUUUUACAUAAUAUUAUUUAUUAGUAAGGUCGCCUCAAUAAUAAUUAAUUAACGUAUUGUUUGAUAUAUUAUAAGAUAUAUAAAGUUAACGUGUGGACCAGCCCCAAUGUUGAAACUUCGAAGAAGCUGCCAAGAAAAUGUAAACAAAUUAAGGUUCCAUUUGUUUGCUGGAAAGUAUUAUUUUUUUUGAAGUAAAUUUCGAGUAAAGUGAAUUCCGGGAAAGUAUUUUCCGAUGUUUAGUGUAAUGAAAAAUGAGUUGGAAACACUUUCCAGUAUUUGGUUAUGUCAUAGAAAAUGUGUUGGAAAAUAAUUUAUUAAUAUUUUAUUUUUCUCAAGUUUAUUAAAAUAAUAAGAAACAAAUCUUACAAAUUAAAUGGUUGAAUGAUAAUGAAAUUGAAAAAAAAAUAUAAUUUCAUAAAUUAUCUCAAAUAAAAUAAAUAAUAAUCAAAAUAAUAGAGAUCAAAUCUAAAAAAUUAAAAAAUAAUAAAAGAUGAAGAAAUAAAAAUAAUAAUAAUCAACAUUUCAUAAAUUAUUUCAAAUAAAAUAAGUAACAAUCAAAAGAAUAAGGACCAAAUUUGAUAGAUAAAAAAUUUCAAUAAAAAUAUGAUAAGAAAAAAGCAAAUAGCAAUUAUAAAAAUAAGAACCAAAGUUAAUAUAAAAAUAAAAUUUUAAAAGAUGAAAUUGAAAAAUAAAUAUUCAAAACAAAAUAUAUAUAGCAAUCAAAAGUUUGAGGAUCAAAUUUGAUAUAAUCAGUAAAUAAUGACAUUUCUAAAUUUUUCACAACUCCCGGAAAGUGUUUUCCCCCCAAACUUUUCAGGAAAACACUUUCCUGAAAAGCAAGCCAAAUUUUUCUUUUACUGGAAAGUGUUUUCCAUUGACCAACUUUUCUACUGGCAAACAAACAAAAGAAAGUUUGGAAAGUGAUUUUUCCGGAAAUUACUUUCCGGAAAACAAACACAGCUAAAAAGAAAAUAUUUUCCUGAAAAUCAAGUCAAAUUUUUCUUUGACUGAAAAGUGUUUUCCGUUGACUAAAAAGUGUUUUCCAUUGACCAACUUUUCUAAUGAUAAACAAAUACAGGUGUAACUGGACGACAAAACAGAGUGACCAUUUCUUUUUCUAACAACAGGAAAGUUUGGAAAAUGGUUUCCCGGAAACUACUUUCCGGGAAACAAACAUGGCCUAAAUUUUCUAAAAAGAACAGCAUAUUUCUGCAUGCUGUGAAUUUUUUAAAAAAAUAUUUUUUAUUUAAAUAUAUAUUAAAAUAAUUUUUUAAUUUUUUUUUAUAUUGUCACAUAAAUACAAUUCAAAAAUAUUAAAUACAAACAGUCACUUGAUAUAAUUUUACAGAUUUUUAAUUAGUCUCCCUCAUUUGAGCCAUGUCAUGGUUAAUAGUUAUCAGAAGAACCAACACCCCGACAAAAAUAAUAAUAAUUUCACAGUUGAACAAUGUUUUUUAAAAAACUUGAUAUUUUUUUAUUUUAAAUUAAAAUUUUUAAUAUUUUUAGAUUGAUUUGACAUUUUAAUAUUCAAAAUAAAUUUUAAAAAAUAAUAAAAAUUAUUAUUAAUAUAUUUUUAAAUAAAAAAUAAUUUAAAAAAUAAUUAUUAUCACCAUCAAACAUUAUCUUAUUCCAUGAUAGCAUACCUGAACUUUUCCACAACAAUGGAAAUUAUUAUUUUUUCCAACACCCUUCUACAGAUUUAUAUUCUUAGCCCUCGACCUAUAAAGUAUGAUUUGCUAGCCAAUCUGCACACUAGUUUCUAAUUAAUACAAAGAUGAUCGUGUUUUUUUGUUGCCAAAAUUGUGGGCCAAUAAUUUUCCAUUUUUUUCCGAGUUUUUUAGUGAUUUUUUUUUAUCUCAAAUUCAUAAAUUAAAAAAUUAAUAAAAUAAAAUUUUGAAUUAAAAUUAAAAACCAAAAUUAAAAUGCAAAAUGCAAAAACUCCAGGGAACAGAAUUUUGAAAAACACACCAAGCUACUUUUUUAUUUCAGUAUCAUAUUUGGUGUUCAAAGUUUCAAUUAUUUUUAAUGAAUUAAAUUGAAUAAAAUUUUAUCAAAUCAAAUACCAACUUAAAUUAAUCGUUGAAGCUUUUUUUUUUUUUUUACCUUGAGAACUUCAUAAUUAAUUAAAAUAAAUUAUUAACCUCAAAUUCCCAUGAAUAUAAAAUUAAAAAUAAAAUAAUCAGCUCAAAUAAUAAUUAAUUAACGUAUUGCCUGAUAGUAAGGAAGUUGUCCGGAAGCAACCCACCGCUCACCUACCAAACAUGAGAGUGUUCGGAGAUUAUUUGGUUUUUUGUUUUUUAUGGCCAUAUAAAAAAUAUAUAUUUUUAAUUUUAAAAAAUAUAAUGUAUAUUUUAAAAAAUUAUUUUUUUAAUAAAAAAAUUAUCACAUCUCCGUACCAAAUACACAUAUUAUAUUAUAAGAUAUAAAAAGUUAACAUGUGGACCCCCACCAAUGUUUAAACUUCGAAGAAGCUGCCAAGAAAAUGUAAACACAUGAAAUUUUCAAAAAAGAAUAGUAUAUUUAUGCAUGCUGUAAAUGUUUUUUUAAAAAUAUUUUUUAUUUAGAAAUAUAUUAAAAUAAUAUUUUUAAAUUUUUUACAUUUUAUAUCAUAAUAUCAAAAUAAUUAAAAAUAUUUAAAAUAUAUUUUUAAAAAAUACAUUGGGAUUGUAAAGUUAAACCAGUUCUAACGUUUAAAUUGUUUUAAAAAUAUUUUAAAAAUAUAAAAAUAAACAGGGUUUAAGGUGCAUUUGAAUGUGUCUGCCUUUGAGUGUGUCUAUCAGAGCCGAGUGAUUUUACUUAACCAUGAAUUUUUUGUGAGACAAAUUAUAAUGAAUUUUUUUCUAUUUUACUAAUAUACCCAAGGUGUUUAUAACUAGAUGCUACUUGCUGAGGUGGAUAUUAGCAAUAUCAAAAUUAACUGUAAUGUUAAAACUUUGGAAAGCUAUUUGAGGCAACACCAUGCCCACCAACAUCACCCCAACAAAAAAAGAUGAAUUUUUGUACCUCCCAUAAAGAAAAUAGAUAGAGGUAUGAAAUUUUAUUCUAAAUAUAUUCUUAUAAAAAUUUUAAAAUUCCAAAUCAUGUACAUAUUCUGCACAUCACACAUAAUGACAUCUUUGUUUAGCGAUGGAGCACAGAGUUGAUCAUAAUAUAUAUCUUCCAUGGUCAAGACACAAUGGAUCUGUUGGUUGAGAUGGAUCUCCAUCACAGCCCAACAUCAUUAGCGCUUAUCAAAAGAAGAAGAUUUCGAAUCAGUCCAUUCAUUUCCAUCUGUAGGCAUCUUUCUCAAACAUCAAGGAGAAUUACUUCUAGAUUCUGAGUUGCCACUAAAAAACAAAAAACCCUUACGAACUAGUUCGUCUUCCAAUCCUUAAAUUAGUUUCCUCGUUGUUUUUCACAAUUUUUUAAGAAAAAAAAAUAAAAAAGGAAAAAUAAAAAUAUGAUCAUAAGCUAUAUAUCUAACACUCAUUUUAAAGAAAUUGAUAAUCCAAGAAUUUAAACCUAGCCAGUUAGCUAUAGGACACACAACUCGCUAGGGAUACGAUGAACCUUUUUUUGAUGGCCUUGUAACCCAGCAGAUUGGAAAAAAUAACAACGCUCCUAGGCCAAGCCCGCGAACAUCACCCCCAGCAUAUUGGAAAAAAUGCUCAUAACCAUUUCGGAAAAAACACACCUAGGCUACCAUGGUAUGCUAGAAAGUGGAAAUAAAUCGAUAAUAAUCAUGAAAUAAAUCGUAAGCAGAAAAGAAAAAUAAAUAAAAAUUGUUCAUACUACUCCAUCUUGAUUGAUGGGAAUGACUUCUGACUUGCAUACAUAUGUAAUAUGUAAGACUCCUGCUAAAAUUAUCUGAUAAAUUUUCGUGAAAAAAAAUAAUAAAGUCAGAGAACAACCAUGAAAUGCUUCUUAAAUUAAAUCAAAUGGAGAAGAAAACUCAGGUAAUAAAUGUUUAAUUCACUUUCAAGUGACAAUAAAGAAUGAAAGCAUUUCUAUUCAAUGAUAUUUCUUGGCUCACAAAUAAUCUAUCAACAAUUAUAUGAGAAUCAAAUCUCUCCAAUCACAUGCUCAACACUUAGAAAGCAAAUUUACAGAGUAAUAAGUCUAAUAAACUUCUUGAUGUAGUGCAACAGAUAAUUCUAAAUUUAUUAAAUAGACUCAUUAACAUUUUUUAUGUAUUUAUUGACAUAAAUAAUUCCAAAUUUAUCUAAUUAAAUAUAUACAAAACGUGGUUAGUAUAACUAAACACACUGACUUUUGGCUACCAAACUAGUUUUGGCAUUAAGUGGCUUGUCCCCAGAACCUGGGUCCCAAAUGCCAGCAACCGAACAUAAAAAGGUUUCAACCCCAUGGUGCCUUUUCCCUUGUUGUAAAUAUAAAAUAAAAUUUAAGUCAAGGAGGUCCAGUCUUAAAUGCUCCAAACAUUAUCCUUGUAUCAAGCUUAUGUGAUCCAAGAAUUCAUAUUUAUUAUAAAAUUAUAAUUUAAUAUGAGUUUUUAUCUUAUGAUUCAAGAAGUUUCUAUUGUAUAUUCAAGAAUUUUAAGUUUGUAGUCAAUUUUAUAAUUCAUAAAAAUAUUUGAUCCCUGAAUUAGUUUUCUAAAUGCCUUGCAUAAAUUCUUAAGAGUAAAAAUAUUUUAACAAUAGUUGUCGUGCUAAAAAUGAUACUCUAUUGAACUUUUAUUUCUAAUUCUAUUUUUUAAGUUUUUGAUUUUUGUAAAAUUGAUUGGAAAAAAAAAUCAGGUCAUGUGGGCGCUUAACUCGAAUCAGCAAAAUCAAAGAAUCAAGUGAAUAAUAAAUUUCAAUAUUCAGAGUUGAAGACCGGUGGAGCAAAAUCCGACUCUAGUCUAGAGCGUGUUUGGGAACGUCGUGCAAAUCGUAUUGCUUCAAAAUUAAAAUUUUAUUUGUUUAAAAUUAAUUUUUUUAUGUUUUGAAAUCGUUUUGAUGUGUUGAUAUCAAAAAUAAUUUUUUUAAAAAAAUAUUAUUUUGAUGUAUUUAUAAGGAAAAAACACUUUCAACCGCAAACCGCUCGUUUGAGAUUGUGGUAGUGAUUGUGGUUCAAAGUGUUUUUCGCUUAGAAAUACAACAAAAUUAUUUUUUUUUAUUUUAAAAAAUUAUUUUUGAUAUCAACACAUCAAAACGAUCUAAAAACAUAAAAAAAAAUUAACAAAAAAGAAAUUCAAAGUUUAAGUAAACAUGAUUUCCAUGGCAUUCCCCAAUAUGCCCGAAUCAAAGACAUUCUAAUCUCGUUACUUUUUAGAGAUCUCUUAAUUUUCAAGAGAACCUUAACCAUCCCUUUAUGCAAGUGUAUGCUUUGCCAAACAAUCCUUCAGGAGAAUGGGUUCUCAAACAUGCCAAAUUGUUUUUCAAAUAAUUCAAAAUUCCUAAAACAAACACUAUAUUAAAUUCAUCUAUAUCGGCAUGGGUUGAUCUAUCCAACCUAGUAAUAUGUCAUAGGAUUGGAAUCUGAUUAUGUAACAAUAGGGAAAAAAUGUCAGAUUUUUGUUUUUUUUAUUGGAUUUACUUUCUAUGUGGUCAAUCUUGCCAUUAUCAUGAGUUUCUAAAGUUAACAUAGGCUGAUUUUAAUAUUUUUCAGGUUUUUUUUUUAUUUUUUUAAUAUUAUUUUUUUAGAGUUGAUCUUUAUGAUUUUUUUAUGGAACAAUAGGGAAAUUUUUUUUAUAAAUUAUUUAUUUAAUUAUAUGAUAAAAAUAAAUGCUCCUCAAAUUGAGUAUCAUUUUUAAAAUAAUUCUAUAAAAAAUAAAUUAUAUUUAUUUAAGAUUAUAAUAAUUCUAUAAAAAAUAAAUAAAAAUAAAUCAUAUAGUUUAUUUACAAAGCAAUCUAAUAAUAUUAAAGAAUAACAUAAAAAAAUAAAAAAAAAUAUAUCAGAGAAAUCACAUAAGUUUGAUAGCAAGGAAGGAAGUUGCUGAGAAGGAACCCGCCGCUUACCUAACAAACAUUAUAUUAUAAGAUAUAGGAAGGUAACGUGUGGACCCCCUAAUGUUGAAACUUUGAAGAAGCUGCCUGUAAAAUGUAAACACGUGAAUAUGAGAAAGAAUAGCAUAUUAAGGUAGUAGAUAUCUCUUCCAUUUUUUUCCUCUUCAUAAUGCAUGGAUUUAAGUUGCUUGGAGAUUUCAUUAAUGAAAUUAUUAUUUUUUUAUUUUUAAUAUUAGUAUAUUAAAAAAUAUUUUUUCAAGAUAAAUAAUUUUUAAAAAUAUAUUCAAACACAAUUUUAAAUAUAAAAAUAAAUUAUGUCUUGAUUCUAUCGUAACAAUCUUCAUCUUCAAAGAUAAAUUAUUAAGAUCGUGACCUAUGUUCUCGAUUGAACUAGGAAGGUAUGGACUCUAAAUCCUAUAUAUAUAGAUAAAUUAGUAGAAAGGACAAAAACCCUAGUGCAAAAGUCCUAUAAACUAGCCAAACAAAUCAUACCCAGAAAAUCAAAAGCCAGAAACAUUCUAGCUCAAUUUUUGCUCCCCCUAGCUAAGAAAUGCAUAAUGCCCGCUUUGAAUUAUAGAUCAUCCAAAUUCCAGGGUAAAUAAUUGGAGAGUAAUUUGAUAGUGCUUAUAAAUUAAUUAAUGUCAUUUUAUUAAUUAUUAUUUUAUAUUUAUUUUAAAGAAAUAGAGAGAUAAACUAGAAGAAGAAAAAUCCAAGGUAAAAAUAUUCUUAUUAUUUUUUGUGUUUGUUUUUUUAAGUGAAUCCAAAAAAUAACCAAUAAUAAAUGACUAAUUACAUCCAAAGAAUAAUGCGGUGACGGUAGCACAGCAUUGAUUCUACAUGGGGACAAAUUAAAAGAAUAGAAGAAAAUAUUAAAUGAUUUAAUAGAGAAUAAAAUUUAAUUUUAAAUGCAAAUUAAAAUAAAGUAGAGUGACUAAUGGAGGAAGUACUGGAAUUCUACGAACAGUAGAGCGUCGGGAAUCCUUGCACACCUUUGGUAUUUUAAUUAUUCUUAUUUCGUUUAAUAACUCAAUAGGAUGAAAAAAAAAUAUUAAUCAAACUUCAAAUUAUAAUUAUUUAUCAUUUGAGUUAAAAAAAAAUAUGACAAUUCAGUAGUCUUUAAUGAAAUAAAAAAAAAUAAAAAAUGUUAUUUAUGUAAUUGUGCUUAACUUUACAAAGGGACGAAGGACAUUCUUUGCAUUAGGAUGCUCCCACUCCACUACCGUCUCCCACCAUUCUUUUGGAUAUACUAUGAUUUCUUCAAGAGAAGGGGGAGGAGAUGGCUGGCCAUUUUCAAGCAACGGAAGACAAAUUGGCAUCCUCUUCAGCUUCUGACAACGGAAUACAUUAAUUUCUUCAAGAGAAUUGCAAAUCAGUUUUGCACUACAAAUGCUUUUCAGUUCUGGUAAUUCAAAUAAAUUCAGAAUUCUUAACUUUGGGAGAAUGACUUCCGUGAUAGAAUUGGAGGUGCUGCUUUCUUCAUCUGUUGUUCCUAUUAUCUCCUCCAUUUUCUCACACUCAUUAACUUCAAUCACUUCCAGGUUUACCAGGUUUGGCAGCAACACAAGUGGGAACAGCUUCUUCAUACUUUUACAUCUAACAUAAUAAAACUCUUUAAGACCAGAAAACAUACCAUUAUAUGAUGGCAAUGGUGGCGGAUCAAAGCAGAAACAAGAAGAUGAAACCAAGCUCUCCAUGCUAUUGCAAUCCACAAUGUUGAUGUGCUCCAGUUCAGUUGCAUUCUCUAAUGACAAAACAUCACAUAAACUUCUUGCAUCGAUGCAUUCACAAACCAGUCCUUGAAUGCCAUUUAAGAACUUGACCUGAAAAUCUCCGUCUCCGUUGAUACUCAAAUUACCCAACCCAACUGUUUUACUUGGAAAAUUCAAUGCUUGCCAAAUACACCCACCUCUCCUACUAAAAUUUUGUAUGUGCUUAAUGAUUGGAUCCCAUCCCGAGAUCUGAGAUACUCCACGAAGUCAGGGAAACCUUCGAAAUGGCAUUCCAAAGUUUCUAAAUUUCUCAAGGAUCCUACUUCCUUUCCUUUAACUGUUAUCGGAGCAUUCGUAAAAUUUUCUAGUACAAAGACUUGCAGGUGAGAGAGUUUUGGUAAUAUCCCACUAGGAAACUCCUUUUCACCACAUCCAUGCAUUCUAAGAUACCUCAGGUUGGUUAGGCAUUCCAUUCCUUGCGGCAUCUUUGCAAGUGCCCGAGUAUCAGAGAGAUCCAACCUCUUCAGUGCCCUGAGCUUCUUUAAUGAUGGAACAUAUCUUAAGUUCUCACACAUUUUGAGCAAUAACGCAGUGAGACUCACCAAAUCAGAGACAGAGUCUGGCAAGUUUUCAAUACCUGUGCAAGACAGAUCGAGGACCUUGAGCCCAUGCAAUUGCUUGAAAAAUGAAUCCGCAAUCAAUGCAACUUUAUUUCACAUAGAAAUAGAGUUGAAAUGGACACUUGGUGAAUACUGGAAGGAAUUUCUUGAUCUUGUUUUUCAUUAGUGAAACUCGUCAGAUUCUCCGUCCACUCCUCUGCAUUUGGCAGCUCUUUUAAUUGCGCACCUGCUUUAACCAUAACUUGAGAGUUGUCUUGUAGUAUUUGGAUGGCCAUGUCCCUAAUCAAGUCAUGCAUCUUGACACAUCUACGACCAUCGUCCAUUUUAGCACUUUCCAAUAGGCAGACAUUUUCAAGUCUAUUAAGCAUCGUGUGGCCCUCAUCAAAUGCAUCUCCCCUGCUCCUCAUUCCUUUAAUUAUUCCCUCAUCAAUCAAAUAACCUAUCAACUCCUCCCUUUCAAUCUUACCAUCUUCAGGAAAUAAUGCACAGUACAAGAGACAUCGUUGUAGUGCUAAAUCACCUAACCGAUCAUAACUAAACCUCAAUAACUUGAAUACUUUCUCAUCUAUGUCCCUAAAUUCUGAUUCUCUCAAUUUGUUCAAUGUAUUUCUCCACUCAUGUAGGUCAUCCACUCCCCUCAAGCUUCUUGCUACUGUAAUAAUUCCCAAUGGCAAACCAUCACAUUCCUCUGCAAUAGCUUUUGCAAUCCCUUCCACUUCUCGCGAAAGUGCUUUGUCACGUCCAAGUUUCUCCAAGAACAAAUUCCAAGCUUCUCCAUCAGAAAGUGGCUUCACUUUGAUUUUGUGAUUGCAAGCAAUUCCAUGACAAACCGUUUCUAAUCGAGUUGUCAAAAUCAACUUGCAUCCUUCCAACUUCUCAGGAAUUCCCACUUUGUCUAGCUCAAAAUCAUUCCACAAAUCAUCUAGAAUGAGAAUCCAUUUUUGUUUCUUCAUUAGUUCUUCUGACAAUUUGGCAGCUCUAUGCAGAUCAUCAUCUUCGCUUGAAAGGUCUAGAUGAAGACGUUUAGCAAUAAGAUUCUGCAAUCUAUUAAUGCUGAAAUCUUGAGACACAGUCACCCACCAAACAUGAUCACAAAUAUCUGGUCUUUGUGGAAGCUCAUUAUGGAUAUGUUGCAGUACUGUGGAUUUACCAACUCCCCCCAUCCCAUAAAUGCCAAUGGUUGGGACUUCAUCAUCCAUUAACAAAGACCAUAUCACCUUCGUAUUCUCUUCGAAUGCUUGACCCACCGGCAUUGUAGAGCUAGUAGGUAAUGGAACUCCUCUAGUCUUGUUGUAUUUCAGACUUUCAGAAGAUCUAGCUACAGCACCAACCUGCACUGAUCUUCGACUAUUCUCCACAUCCUCCUCCACUGGUUCUGUCCUCACUCUAACCCGAUUAAUUCUCUCUUCCCCGGCACAUUGUUCCAGCACCCCCUGAACUCCCACUUGUAUCCUUCCAGCAGCCCCUGCCAAAUUGCCAAGUACUGCAUUGCUUUGUUCCAACGAUCGAUCCACUGGUUCUGUCCUCGGUCUGCUCUCGAGUGCCCCUUCGGAAACUCCAUCUUCUUGUGCUCUCAUUCCGGUCAUGCUUACUACGUCGUUUCCUGCUAUUGCAUGUGAAGUAAUCCUCUCUUCCCCUACUCCGGGUUCUACAUCCUGAACUUCUCUUUGUACCAUUCCAAUUCCUCCUGUGAUUUUAUGUCUUUUGUUGCCACCACACAUAGCUUUCCAGGCUGCUUCUUGAACUUCUUUAGGCACCCCACGACAAAUGGCAACAUUAUGCCCUUCCUCUCCUGAUAAAUGCCAUUUGAUCCUUGAAAUUGUGGUUUUAUUGGCAAAUGUAUGUGGACAAAACUUACACUUCAUGCUACCAUCAUCAGCCCUUUCAACAUAAUUCCAAAAUGAAUUCUUUGGUCCACCCAUUUCAACCUGUAGGAAAAAACAAAAGGGGAGGGGGGGGGUUUAAAAUAUAGAAUAAACAUAAGUCAAAAUAAAGAAUAAAAAUUGAUGCAAAUUACAGCAUAUCCGGAUGGAUGAGAAACUACUUCUUCAGUGUUGUUAUUUUGCUAUUAAGAUUGAUAGUUAGUUUAUUGCACAAUCAUAGAAGGGAAAUAUACGAGGAUAAUUCAGUUAGACUUCUUACUUGUUGAGUAUUUAAACCCCUAUUUUGACUUUGCAGGGAAGUGCCAAGGCCAGGAUUUGAGGCAUUUGGCCUAGCAGUUUGAUUUUGCAAUCCUCGGACUUGGAGGUUAUCCAUCUGUGACCUAUAUAUAAAUGAAGUGAUCAUAUUAUAAAACCUUUCCAUAAUUGGUAGUCUCUUUUAAGCACUAAAAGUUAAUGGUGUUAAAACACAACAGCUAGAAGUCAAUCAGUACCUAGGCACGAAGUUCUCUUGUUGUACGUUGUCUAUGUUAGGAAUUACAGCAGCUCGAUCGACUUGUCCUUGAUUAGAAAAAUAUUGACUCCUGAAUCCAAAAUCAUUUGCAAACAAUAUGUUUAGCUUGUUGGGUUCAUGUUCAAGCUAUGAUGUUUCUUUCCUGAUUGAAAAUCUAUAUUUUUUUUUUUGGAGAAAAUACUAAACAUGAAAAAUAGGAUACCGGGGAGCAGGAAAAGAAGGUCCAGGUUGAAUGAAGCCAUCGUGUUCUGAAGUGGUUGCGUUCGGUGUCAUAUAGCCAUGUCCCGGCUGUGGUUGAUGAAUAUUGGAGUACUGAUGCCUGAAUAAUAUUCAAAUAGUUAAACUUGGAACUGUUAUUCUAACUUGGUUGAUUUUCUAGUUCCAUUAUGUGCACAAAAAAAAACAGAGAGAUAGAGAACUCAAAAAGACUCGAAAGAUCCUCGUCAAUUCUGGUCAAGUUUAUUAUUUUCAUGAUUAAAAAAGUGUAUAUUCAAAGUUAAUACCAUUGAUUCAAUGGAGGUUGAGGUCCAGGUAGCAUCGCAGGCACUUGAUUCCUCAUUGGUAACUGAUAAUUAGUCCAUUGUUGGUCCCUAAAUUAGCAGCAUUUGUUAGUAAUUUCUUAUACAUAUACGCAUAAUUCUUUACUAUUAAUCCACUAAGCAUUUGAUAUCAUUUUAGCUUACCUCAAAGGCAUUGAUGGUCCAGGUAGCAUGGGAUUGGCACAUCGAGGAUCAGAUAAAUUAGGAUGAGGCAGAUACCUAUAUUCAAAUAUAAUGAAUUCAUUUAGUGUAAUAAAUUGGCAUCACUGAUAAGAAUAUUAGGCAGAUAAGUAGAACAACAACAAGAAGUUAAAUAAUUAUGAAUAUUAUGUACAAGAAGAAUUUAAAUAAUGAUUAUUCUCACUUAGUUGAUUUUCUAGUUUCAUUAUGUGAAGCAAAUCAGGAGACAGGGGAAACAGGGGACUCUUGAAAGCUGAUUAAAGCUUAUUAGCUGUGGUUAUUAUUUCCCAUUUAGCUGAUAGUUUCCUAGUCAGAUUAGUAUUAGAUUUCAAUUACGUAUUGGAUCGUAAGUCCUUAGCUGUAGGGUAUUUAAGAGGGGAACAGAACAAAAGAUGGGACAUUAUUUGUAUUCUUGGCAAUUACUUUCUUUAAAUACAAAUUUGAGUGAUUCCUCUACAUAAAAAUUCUGUAUUAAAUUAUUUAUUGUUCUUACUGGGAGCAACGAGAGGUUGUACCGGAGGGCAUUUACAUUAAUAUGUGCACAAAAAAAAAAGAGAAAGAGAGAGAGAUAGAGAGCUCAAAAGAAGUUAAAUAAUGAUGAAUACCUUGAUGGAGUUUGAGGCCAAUUUGGUUCAUUUUGGUUGAUCCGUGAUGAUAUGGAGCUUUGGUUGUCUGGAACCUCCGGUGGCCUGCUUCCAUGGACAGUGACAUUAUUAGGAUAAACGGAAGAAUAACUAAAUUGCGAGCAAUCAUCUUCUGAUAAAAUAUGCUUACGAAUGACGUACGAGAGAAACUCAGAAAUAUUGAAUGUAUCUUCAAUGGUGUAUCUAAUUAUAAAAAUGAAGUGAUCAUAUUAUAAAACCUUUCAAUAUUUGGUAGCCUCUCUUAAGCAGUAAAUAUCAAUGGUGUAUCUAAUUAUCAAAAAGGUGUUAAUACCGUGUUAAAACACAACAGCUAGAAGUCAAUCAGUACCUCGUAGAGUUGCCAGAGUUUCGAGGCACGAAGUUCUCUUGUUGCAUAUUGUCUAUGUCAGGAAUUACAGCAGCUUGAUCGUCUUGUCCUUGAUUAGAAAGAAAUUGAAUCCUGAAUCCAAAGUCAUUCGCAAGCAUUAUGAAGCAUUACAAACUUAUGAUUAUCUAGCUGGGUUCAUGUUCAAGCUAUGAUGUUACUUUCUUCUUUGAAAAACUAUUUCUUUUUUUUUUACAGCAAAUAGUAAAUAUGAAAAAUUGGAUACCGGGGAGCAGGAAAAGAAGGUCCAGAUUGAUUGAAGCCACCAUGUUGUGAAGUGGUUGCAUUCGGUGUCAUAGAGCCAUGUCCCUUCUGAGGUUGAUGAAUAAAGGAGUUCUGAUGCCUGAAUAAUAUUCAAAAUAGUUAAACACAGAACUGUUAUUCUCACAAAAAGAGAGAUAGAGAGCUCAAAAAGACUUGAAAGAUCCUCGACCUCGUCAAUUUUGGUCAAGUUCAUUGUUUUCAUGAUUAAAAAAGUGUAUCUUCGAGGUUAAUACCAUUGAUUCAAUGGAGGUUGAGGUCCAGGUAGCAUCGCAGGCACUUGAUUGCUCAUAAUUGGUAACUGAUAAUUAGUCCGUUGUUGGUCCCUAAAUUAGCAACAUUUGUUAGUGAUUUCUUUAUACAUAUGCAUAAUUCUUUGCUAUUAAUCCACUAAGCAUUUGAUAUCAUUUUAGCUUACCUCAAAGGCAUUGAUGGUCCAGGCACCAUGGGAUUGGCACAUUGAAUAUCAAAUAAAUUAGGAUUACGCUGAUACCUAUAUUCAAACAUAACGAAUUCACUGAUAAGUACAACAACAAGAGGAAGAAGAAGAAGGAAGUUAAAUAAUGAUUGAAAUUUUUUUUAUUUUUUUUUCAGAAAAUACUAAACAUGAAAAAUUGGAUACCAGGGAGCAGGAGAAGAAGGUCCAGAUUGAUUGAAUUCACCAUGUUGUGAUGUGGUUGCGUUCUGUGUCAUAUAGCGAUGUCCCGUCUGAGGUUGAUGAAUAAAGGAAUAAUGAUGCCUAAUUCAAUGUAGCAAAUUGGAGUAAGCAUGAGUACUCACCAUGGUUUCAGGAAAUGAAGGUGGAAACUGAGUUGUUUGUUGAAUGAUAUCGUUGAUCGCAUUGUUCUGUCCACCUUGAUCAUUGCAUGAUAUGGAGCCUUGGUUGACUGGAACCUCCGGUGCCGGCCUGCUUCCAUGGAAUAAUAUAGAGGAUAAACUAAAGUAACUAAAUUGCAAGCAAUCAUCUUCUGAUAAAAUAUGCUUAAGAAUGACGUACGAGAGAAGUGGUGAUUGAAGAUCGAAAAGAUCAUCAUCCAUAGAAGAUGGUUGGAACCCUUCCAUCUGACCAAAAGUACAAGAUGAUUAGUACAUGCUGAGGUGAAAAAAGAACAGAAAGCACAUAGCAAAGAAAAAGAAAAAGUAUUAAUUAAAUAACUCUAAAACGCGUGGUGUUUUCACUGUAGCCAUCAUUGUAUUUUUUUUUUUAACAGUUUUUCUGUAGCAUUUUUUUUUCUGCUUUUUUUUCCUACUUUUGUUUCUUCUUCAUUUUUUUUACAUUUUUUUUUUUUUUUUUUACCCAAAAUUUUCUUUUUUUUUUCUUUUUCAAAUUUUUUUUUCAAAAUUAUCUUUGCUAAUUUUUUUAAAUAUUGAGCUGGUUGAAAAUUUAACUAUAUAUCUUUUUUCAUUAAAACAUUCUGGAUUGCUAUAAUGUAUUCAUACAUUGUUUUUUUUUUCUUUCUGAUUUGUUUAUUCUUUUUUUAAAAUGGUCUUUGUAGAUUUUUUUUUAUAUUAAGUUGGUUGAGAAUUUAGCUUUGUAGUUUUUUUUUUUUUAAAAAAAAAACAAUAUGGAUUGCUACAGUGUUUCCCUACAUAGUUUUGUUUUGCUGUAGUGUUCCCCACAUAUUUUUUAAAAAAUUAUCUUUAUCGAAUUUAUUUUUUCAAUAUUGAGUUGUCUGAUAAUCUAGCUUUACCUUUCCCCACAUGGUUUUUUUUUAUGUUUUCAUUUCUUUUUCUUUUUUUCCUCAAUUGUCAUUUUUUACAUGUUUUUUUUUGUUUUUUUCAGAAUUAUUUUUGUUGAUUUUACUUUUUUUGCUAUUGAGCUGGUUGAAAUUUUAGUUUUUUUGGUUUUUUCUUUAAAACACUGUAGUUUUCCCCGUGUGUUUUUUUUCUCGCCUUUGUUUCCUUUUUUUUACAUGUUUUUUUUUCAUUUCUUUUACCCAAAAUUGACUCUUUUUUUUUUUUUAAAUAGUCUUUGUCAGGUUUUUUUAUAUAUUGAGCUGGUUGAGAACUUAGCUUUUUAGCUUUUUUUUUUAAAAAAAAAAAACACUAUGGAUUGCUACAGUGUUUCCCUUACAUGGUUUUUGUUUGGCUGCAGUGUUUCCCCCACGUGUUUUUUUUUUAAAUUAUCUUUGUCAAAUUUAUUUUUUCAAUAUUGAAUUGGUUGAGAAUUUAGCUUUAGCUUUCCCCAUGUUUUUUUUUUCAUUUUUUUAAAUUUUUCCCAAAAUUGUCUUUCUUCUUUAUAUUUUCUUUUUUUUUUCAUAGUUAUUUUUGUUGAUUUUUUUUUUUACUAUUGGGCUGAUGUAUAAUUUAGUUUUUUUUAUUUUUUUUCUUUAAAACACUAGAUUGCUGCAGUAUUUCUCUACAUGGUUUUUUUAUUAAAUAAUUUUUUUUUUAGAAUUAUCUUUGUCGAUUUUAUUUUUUUCAUAUUAAGCUGAUUAAGAAUUUAGCUUUGUAGUUAUUUAAAACACUGAAGAUUGCUACAGUGUUUUCCCACAUAAUUUUUGGCUUGCUACAGUGUUUCCCUAUACAUUUUUUUGUUGAUGUUUUUUUUUUUCAAAUAUGUUUUUGUCAAAUUUAUUUUUUUCAUACUGAACCGGUUAACAAUUUGGCUUUUUUUCCUUAAAACAUCGUUGAUUGCUACAGUGUUUUCCCAUAUGCUUUUUUUCCUUAUGUUUUUUUUUUUUAAAAAAAUUGUCUUUGUCGUUUUUAUUGUUUUUGAUAUUGAGCUGGUUAAAAAUUACAACUGUAGAUUUUCUCAUGAAACACUAUAGAUUGUUAUAGUGUUUCCCUGGAUGUUUUUUUUCCUUUUGUUUUUUUUUAUAUAUUUAUCAAAAUUAUCUUUAUUGAAUUUUUUUUUAAUAUUGAGCUGGUUAAGAAUUAUAGUUGUAUAUUUCCUCACAAAACACUACAGAUUGCUACAGUGUUUUUUUAAAUGAUUUUAACAUUUAGCUGGUUGAAAAUUUAGCUUUAACUUUCCCCACAUGUUUUUUUUUCUAUUUUUUUAUUAUUUUCUUUUUGCUUUUUGUUCUUCCAAAAUUGUCAUCUUCUUUUUUUCAUUGUUUUUUUUUCAUAAUUGUUUUUGUCGAUUUUUUUUUUAAUAUUGAGCUGGUUGAGAAUAUAGCUUUAUAGUUUUUUCCUUUAAAAUAUUGUGGAUGGUAACAGUUUUUUUUUAUAUGAUUUUUUUCACAAAUCCACAAUAAUGCACAAGCAUGCUACAAGCCCGCGGCAUUGCGCGAGCAUGUCACGCCUUUUAAUAAUAUAUUUACUUAUUAAUAUAUUAUAUUAUUAUAAUUAUAAAUAUAAAUAUUAUUAUAUUGUGUUAUAUUAUAUUGUAUUAUAUAACUAUUUUUUUUAAUGAAUUUUUUUUGUUUGAUUUAGUUUGUUAAUGUUAAAAAAAUUUUAUUUAGUUAUCAGAUUAUCAGAUUUAGUAUUAUAUAACAAGUUAUUUUUUUUAUUUAGUUUAGUUUGUUAAAGUUAAUUUUCUUUCUAUUUAAUUAUCAGACUUUCAUACUUUCAUGACAGGUGUCUUGGGCUUGACGGGUUAACUUGGUUUGAUGGGUUAACCCAGUUAAUUCUGAGUAAAUCCGUCAUUUGUUUUUCUAUUUAGUUAUCAAACUUUCAUGAUGUGAAUCCCAAGUUUUACGGGAUAACCUGGUUUAAAGAGUUAACCCAAUUAAUUCAUUUUUUUUUUCUUUUUCUUCAUUAGUUUUUUCCUUUAAGUUGAUUUUUUUUCUUUGUUUUUUUUUAAUUAAUCUAUUUAAUUAUCACACUUUUAUGACACGACUUUAUAGCUAGACCCACAUCCAAUAUUCUUGAGUCCGGUGUUGCAGUCAGGCUCACUUAAUCUUGGGUCAUGCAAGUUUAAUUUUAUUAUUAAUAUUAUAAAUAUUACUCAUAGGUCAGGCGUUGUAGUCAAACUCAAGAUUCUUGGAUAUAGCUUUGCAAAAAAACCCAAAAUUUUUAAAUUUUUAUUUGUUUUAAUAUUUUUUAUGCAAAAAAUAGACCCGCGGCAUCGCGCGCGGGUCAAGUAUCUAGUAUAUAUAUAUAAAAUGUUAAGAGUGAAGAAAGUUUGUUGGCGAUAUUAUUAAACCUCGUCAGGAGAGUUAAUAUUAAAAUCUUCUAACCUAACUUUUUAUUUAAUUUAAAUUUUUAAUUAAAUUAUAUGAGAAUUAACUCAGUUUAAAUCGAUCAAUAUCUAAAUACAACUUAGAAAACUAGUAAAACAUGGCUUAGCUUUUAAAAAAAUUUUCUAGACAAUAACUUUUAAAAAAACAAAUAUUGAAACAAUGACAGAUUUGAUCGAUCCCAGUCCCUCGCGACCUGGGUCAUGGAUUCUAUUGGGUUUGGUAAUUUUUUAUAAGCUUUUUUUAUUUAAUUAUAUGAUAAAAAUAGAUGCUAUCAUCCUAAAAUAAAUAUUUAUUUAAGAUUUUGAUAACCCUAUAGAAAGCAAACAAAAAUAAAUCAUUUAGUCUAUUUCCAAAUCAAUCUAAUAUUGAAAGACAAAAUUGAAAAACAAAAAUAAAAAAAAAUAAAAAAACAGAAACAAAAAAAAACAUAUUCGAUCAAUGGGUGAACCUGUCAAAUUUAUGAAUCAGGUAAUUUAGGCUAGCACAUCAAACCUAUGAACCAGGUUAUGGACUUAACUAGGAUUAUAAUUUUUUUUUUAAAUUAUUUUUAUUUAAUAAUAUCAUAACAAAAAUAAAUAACUGUAAAAUUAAAUACCAACCCAAUAUAUAUAUAUAUAUAUGCUAAUUUGGCUCAUAUAUGAAAUAGACAAAAAACGUUUUUUAAAAAAUGAUAAUAAAAAGGAAAGAAAAGGCAAAACAUUAUCGAUUACUAUUGUAAUCCAUAAUGAAAUGAGUGUGGGUGAAUAGUUAUUCUCUUACAUCUUUUAGUUAUAUAUAUGCUAAUUUGGCCCAUAUAUGAAAUAGACAAAAAAAGUUUUUUAAAAAAUGAUAAUAAAAAGGAAAGCAAAGGAAAAAUAAUAAAAAAGGCAAAACAUUAUCGAUUACUAUUGUAAUCCAUAAUGAAAUGAGUGUGGGUGAAUAGUUAUUCUCUUACAUCUUUUAGUUUUUCUUUUAAUUAAUAAACAAAAAAAUAUCCCACCAAACAAACUAGUGUAAUUUGAGUUAUUUUAACAAACUUGUAAAUCAAGUUAAUCUUAUAAAAAAAUAGAAUAAAAAUUAAUAAAUUAAAGCUGAAUUAUAACCAGCCUAUAAUUAAUAAAUUGUAAAUCCCGGCUGAGGUUGAUGAAUAAAGGAAUUAUGAUGCCUUGAUGGAGUUUGAGGCCAAUUUUAUAUAAAACUUAAUGAUAAAAAAAUAUCAUAAAAAUUGUGUAAAUAUCCCAAUUGUUGUCUGUUUGUUUAACAGUAAACAAUUUGAAGAUGCUCGAGAUCGAUACACUAAACAUAAAACUUUUUGAAUAAUACAAACACUUGCUAAUUCAAUGCACAUUGUAGCAAAUUGGAGCACUCACCAUUGUUUCAGGAAAGGAAGUUGGAAACGGAGUUGUUUGUUGAAUACUAUUGUUGAUCACAUUGUUCUGUCCACCUUGAUCAUUGCAUGAUAUGGAGCUUUGGUUGACUGGAACCUCCGGUGGCGGCCUGCUUCCAUGGACAGUGACGACAUUAUAUUGUUUUUUGGCAAUAAUUGGAUAAACCGAAGAAUAACUAAAUUGCAAGCAAUCAUCUUCUGAUAAAUAUGCUUAAAAAUGACGUACGAGAGAAACUCAAGCUCAGACAGUGGUGAUUCAAAGUUGUCAACCUCCUCCAUAAAAGAUGGUUGGAACCCUUCCAUCUGACCAGAAAAGAUCAGAAAAGACAAAAAAAAACUGAGGUCUAAAAGAACAGAAAGCACAGAUCAGAAAAGAAUAUAUAUAUAUAUAUGACUUUCUUGUUUGUUAAAGAAAUUCGGAUGAAAAAUAUGAAAUAUAAAUGUUGUUGUUAAUGAUUUAAUCCUUUGUCUUUUAAGAUAAAUUUUCAUACUCAAAUUCUUUUUAUGAUAGAUAGAAAGAUGCAGGAUAACUAUUGAAGGUAGAAGAGCUGAUUGUUUUGACGGGGUGAACAAAAACCUCUUUCAACUCCUCUUUAUUCAUAAUUUGGGGAGCAAAACAAAUGCAAGAUUCAUUGUUUACUGUUAAACAAACCUCUUUCAACUCCUAUUUAUUCUCUUUUAAUUAUUCUUAUUUUGUUUAUUGAAAGGUAAUUACCGAUCAAGUUAAUUCAUUGAAUCAUUGUAAGAAAAAAAAGUUGAAAAAUACUGAAUAAAAAUGAAUGGCAGUCCCAUUAAUUGGAAAAGAAAAGGGUGAAUCUAAAAUAAGGAGUUAAAAAAGGCAAAGAAUCUUGAAAAGACGAAAACAAUGAAUUCAGUAUUGAUUUAGUAUGAACUCUCUCCACAAGGCAUGGAUUAUAAAAUCCGAGAAAAAGAUCAAUUUAUUUACCAUGGAUUCCUUUAAAGAUUCAAACCAUACUUACAUAAUAAUUUACCAACAGGACUCAAGUGCUGGUUUGCUUGAGCAGUAUUCAGCCAAAAGAAAAGGAAGAGAAAUCACAGAUCACAGAAGAAUAUAUGGUUUAGAAAAAUAAUAAAGUUGCAGCAUACAUAAAUCUAGUUCGCACUGAUCAUGAAAUGUAGAAAGGAAAAUAGGGAGUUGUAUAAUGAGAUGAGAUGUGGAAGAGAAUGUUACAGCAGCAAGGUCGCCUCAAUAAUACUAUUUAUUAGUAAGGUCGCCUCAAUAAUAAUAAUUAAUUAACGUAUUGUUUGAUAGGAAGGAAGUUGCCACGAAGCAACCCAAACAUAUUACAUUAUAAGAUAUAGAAGCCCCCAUGUUCACACUUCGUAGAAGCUGCCAAGAAAAUGUAAACACAUGAAAAUGAGAAAGAAGCAUACCCCAUCUCGUGAAGUUCUACGUGUACGUAUUUAACUUUACAAUAUUCUUUGCUGUGAAAAUAUAUCAUGUAUAAUUAAUAAAUAAUAUAAGUGCUUAUACAUCUUCUUUUCUUUUCUUUUUUUAACUUUAAACAGAGAGGUGGCUGCCCCAAUACAUUCGGCCUGCCGACACUUAUUUUUUUGGGAGUAUUAAUUCCGUGAUGGAAUUGGAGGUGCUUCUUUCUUCAUCUGUUAAUCCUGUUAUCUCCUCCAUUAUCUCACAAUCACUAGCAUCAAUCAUUUCCAGGUUUAUGAGGUUUGACAGCAACACAAGUGGGAACAGCUUCUUCAUACUCUUACAUCCAUAACAAUAAAACUCUUUAAGACCAGAAAACAUACCGUCAAUGCUACGGGUUGUUGCAAAGUAAAUAGGAAACUUCAUCCAUAGACAAAUCUUUUCUGAUCGGGUUGCAAGAAUAUCUAGACCAUCUAAAAUCAGAACCAAUUUCUGUUUCUCCAUUAUUUCCUUUUUCAAUUCUACCACCCUAUGCAGCUCCUCAUCUUCAUUAGAAAUAUUCAGACCAAUACGUCUUUCAUUUCCACCAUGUUCUGCACAUCACACAUAAUGACAUCUUUGUUUAGCGAUGGAGCACAGAGUUGAUCAUAAUAUAUCUCUUCCAUGGUCAAGACACAAUGGAUCUGCUGGUUGAGAUGAAUCUCCAUCACAACCCAACAUCAUGAGUGCAAAUAAUGGUGGAGCCAGAAUAAAUAAAAAGCAAAGAUUUGCAUGUGGCUAGUGAAGGAGAAUGAUGCUGGCAAAGCAGGACCGACAAUGGAACUCCAUGAAGAACAGCAAAAAAAGCAUGGGAUUUUGACGGUGCCGCUCAAAAGUGUGGAUGCGGUUUACGAGGUUUGACAGCAACACAAGUGGGAACAGCUUCUUCAUACUCUUACAUCCAUAACAAUAAAACUCUUUAAGACCAGAAAAC
RNAcentral lists this long non-coding RNA (57748 nucleotides) under Populus tremula. Its description in RNAcentral is "long non-coding RNA (PTRE_LNC001691)". Lineage: Eukaryota; Viridiplantae; Streptophyta; Magnoliopsida; Malpighiales; Salicaceae. The record is from RNAcentral.